This 52897-nucleotide long non-coding RNA is filed under the name Vitis vinifera (wine grape). Its description in RNAcentral is "long non-coding RNA (VVIN_LNC005012)". The record is from RNAcentral. Lineage: Eukaryota; Viridiplantae; Streptophyta; Magnoliopsida; Vitales; Vitaceae.
GACUUUCAAAGCACUUUCAUUGAAAUAAUUCCUUCUACCAUUUGGAAAUUGCACCAUUUGAGACAUCUAUACGGUCGUGGUGUGGUUUCAAGCCAGUCAGUGAUAGAUAAGUGCAGGAAUGGCCCUUUGAGUGUUGACCACCUAACAAACCUCCAAUCGUUAGGUUUAAGAGCAGGCAGUUGGUGCUGUGGUGAAGGCUUGGGAAAAUUAACUGAGCUUAGAGAACUGAUAAUUGAAUGGACCAAAAUGGCACAAACAAAGAACCAUGGAUUUUCCGAGUCAGUAAAAAAGCUAACUGCUCUUCAAUCCUUGCGUUUGUAUACUUUAGGAGCGGAAAUGUUUACCUUGCCGCACCUCAUGCCUUUCUCAGACCACACCUACCUUUACCAUCUAAGUUUAAGAGGAAGGCUCGAAAGGUUCCCUGAUGAAAUUGAAUUCUACCCUCCAAACCUCAUCUCCUUGGAAUUGGAAUGUUGGAAUAUAGAGCAAGACCCAAUGGUGACCCUAGAGAAGCUGCCAAACUUGAGAUUUCUCAUAUUAUCCCUUUGUUACUCUAUGGUAAAGAAGAUGGUCUGUACUUCUGGAGGAUUCCAGCAACUCGAAACCCUUACGCUCUGGGGUUUGAAAGAAUUAGAAGAAUUGAUUGUGGAGGAAGGGGCAAUGCCUGAUCCGAAGGAUUUAGUAAUUGAGACUUGCCCUAAAAUGAAAAGGCUUUCCCAUGGAUUGCUGCAACGAAAAAAUUUGCAGCACCUAAAGUUGUAUGAUUUGUCUCCUGAGUUAAUGGAUGAGCUUUCUCUGAUAGAAGGAGAAGAUCGGGAGAAGAUCUGCCUCGCCACCUCAAUACACGGGUGGAGGCGUACGGCAUCAUGAAGGCUCAGGAGAAGUUUCAUAAAGCGCUACCAGGAAAUGCUUGGACUGUAUUGAAGAGCAUUUCCAAUGCAACAAAUCUUUCUCUACUUGUCUAAGCUCGUCUUUUUCCUUGUUUUUUCUGCUUUUGUGAAACAUACGUGUUUGUGUAAGAUGCUUCCACGUUUUCAAAUAAAGUGAUCAGUCAGUUUAUAAUUGAACCUCAAUGGAGUUCUAAUAAGAGAAAACCAACAUAAUACAUGCAAGAGUAGAAGCCCGUACACUUCUAAAAGCUUGGGAAGUGUUUUUGAAAUCAGUUUUUAAAAAUAAUUUUUUAAUGUUCUCAUAAACAAAAUUAUGUUUGAAAAUUGAAUUCUAAAAAAUAAUUUUUAUUCUCAAAAACAAAAAAAAACAUGUUUGAUUGAGUUAAUAAAAAUAACUUUUAACAACAAAUAAAACAAAAAAAACUUGUUUGGAAGUUGUUAUUGUUGUAUUUUUUUUUGAAGUUGGAUAUUUUCUUUAAUUAACUUGAUGUUAUAAAUCUAUAAAUAAUUUUUACAUUCACAUUUCAUUAAAAAUAAAAAAUGUUCCAUUUUGAAAUUUUUUUGCAUUAGUUUUAAUUUUUUAAACAAAAUAUUACUUUAUAAUAUGUUUGAUUUCAAUAAUUAGUAAAUUAUCCUAUUAAAAUAUCAUAAAUUGGUAAAUAUCAAUGAUUGGAUUUUAUGAAGAUAAAAUUUAUGAUAUCAAACAAUAAUGCAUUAUACUUGGAAACUUAUGAUCUAUUUUUUCUAUUUUGAAUAUAAUUAAUAAUAUAAAAAUUUAGUUAAUAAUGAUAUAUUUAUGAUAAUUUUUUAAAUAUUAUAAUUUUAUUUAAAAUUAAAUUUUAUAUUUAAUUAUUAUAUAAAAGAUAAAAAUUGUUAAAGUAAAUCAAAUUAAUUUAUUUAUAAAAAUUUAUUAAUCUUUACUAUAUAUAUAUAUAACAUAUUGGGAUGAAAACCAAGAUCAAUACCUUUUCAUUUUUUUCCCUCCUCUGUAUCUCCCUGUUCUCUUUUCAGUUCUUUGUCUCCUCUUGUUCUUCUUCCAAGAUCCAAACUUUUAUUCAGGUGAACUAUUUCUCUCUUCUAAAAUCAAAACAUUAUUCAUUAAGGCCAAAAUUCAGAUAUGUGGUUGUUGCAGAGAUUCCUGGUAAGGUUUCAGGUUUUUUUUUUUUUAAUUAUUCUUUUUUAUUUUUUGCAUUCUUAGUCUUUUUUGUGUUCUUGUUUAUGUUUUGUUUUAGUUUUUGGGAAAUCCUAGAAUUUAUGGAGGUUUUGGCUUUGAAAUAUGAUAAAAUCCUGAAAUAUCAAUAUAUAUAUAUAUAUAUAUUGAAACGGAAAUGACCAAAAAAAAAGAAAACCGGAUAAUGUUGAAUUUUUGUGAGACCGAUUUUCCCAUUUUCAUCCCCAAUUUUUUUUUUUUAAUUUUCCCUCAUAGUGCAAAGAAUUUUGCCUUAGUGCAAAGAAGAGGUGAGAACGCACAAAGAACACACUAGAACACUCAUUGAAAACAUGAAAAGCAUUCUAAUUUUUUUAUUUUUUUUGUUCUUAGAACAGUGGCAAAAACACAGUGAUUACCAUUUUUUUUUUUUUUUUGUUAUCUAAAAACCAAGCUUUAGAAAACAUGAAGAACACUUGAGAACAGAAAACAUUCUCUUAUCAAACUUUUUUUUGUUUUUGUUUUUUUUUUUUUUUGUGAUUUUUUGUUCUCAAAAACAAAAAACAAAUUUUGAAAACACUAACCGCACAUGCCCAAACAUUAAGGUUAUGUUUGGUUCCAGAAAAAUACUAAGGAAAGAAAAUAACUGUAAAGGAAAAUGAUUUUUUUAUGUUUGAUUGUCCUAUAAAAAUAUAAAAGAAAAUCAAAUAUAAUUAAAAUUAAUUAAAAUUUUAUGUAUUUUAAAAUUAUUUAAUAUUUAUAUUGAUAAGUUAAAAUAAAUAAAAUGAGUUUGAAGUAACAAAAAUAAUAAUUUAUCAAUUUUUAAUUUAUUUUUUUAUUUUCCUUUUCUUUUUCUUUUCUUUUACUUUUCCUUUGUAUUUUCUUUCCCCUAAAUUUUCCUUCAAAUUUUCUGGAACCAAACAUAGCAUAAAAGCAUUGCAAGAUAAAUAGUUCAAACUCAAAUCAACUCUGAAAAUUUAAACAAUGACAAUUCGUAGCAUGCAACUUAAAAAUGAAGAACAAAAAUUUAUGUAAGUGAAUGGAUUCAAUCUUGUAAUUUAAUUUAAUUUUUUAAUAUUCAAACAAUAGGAACAAUUUAGAAUAACUUAAUGAUAACUUAUAGAUAAAAGAUUGGAAGGUGAAUGGUUAGAUAAGAUAAACUUGGAAGCAUAAUGAUUUUGAUCUAAUAUUAAUAAUUAUAGUAAAUAAUAAGGGAAGUUAUGGUAUGAAAGAGUUUGCUUAUAGGAUAAUUGUUGGAUUUGUUAAAAAAUGGAAAUUUAAUAUUAUUUUUGCAAGCAAACUGGUUAAUGGAUUUUUACUUAUUUAUAAAUUUAUAAAUAUAAAAAUUGAAGACAGAAUAAUGACCAUUAGGGUGGAAAACAAACAAAUUAAAGAAAUAAAAAAGACAAAUAUAAAUUUAUUAUUAACUUAUUUAUUAUAAUAAUAUGUUAAUAUAAAUUUAUUUAUGAUCAUGAAUAUGAAUUUAUUAUUAAACUUUUAUUAUUCAUUUAUUAAUGUAGAGAAUUACUCUUUUAAUGUAAACUCUUUUAUUUAAAUUUUUUUUCUACUAUUUUUUUAAAAUAUUUCAAAAAAAAUUAUGUUUAAAAUUUUUUCUAUUAUAUUUUUGUAAAAUAUUUGAGGUGGGUUGAAAUAAAUUACAAUUCAUGAGUGAUUAUGAAAAUUUUAAAUGCAUUUAUUUAAAAAAUGGUUGUUUGAUGAUAAAUUAUUUUCUUUAAAUAACCAUUACAUAAUUUCAAAUCAAUUAAAAUAAUAUAUAUAAAAUGACAUCAUACAUAAUUUUAUUAAAAUAUGAUAUUGUGGACCCGUAUUUCGGCUCAUGUGUUUUUCACUCAACGACGAACUCGAUUUUUAUUUAAAAAUAAUUUUAUUUAUAAAAAAAAUGAGUUGGAGUAGCUUGUAGACCCCUUCCAAAGACCAAGGGUUUUUCAUUCGUUCUAGGACCAUCUGGGAGGGAAAUUUUUUUCCCUUUUUUUGGGAGUGGGGACCUCUUUCUGGAGGAAAACCGGUUGCAUAGACGGGUGGCAAAGGGCAUGGCUGGCCAUGGUGGUGGUUGAGGAUGACAUCUUCCCUGGGUGAGGCGCAGUGAAGUGAGGAGGGGCUUACGGGGGAAGAUAGAAAACAGAGGGAAGGAAAAAUUUGAGAUGGGGGGUGGGGGGGGGGGGGGGGGGAAAAAAAAUUUCCCAAAAAAACCAAAAAAAAAAACCUGGAACCCCGCCAACCUUUUUUUUAAAAGAAGCCUUUCCAGGAAGGACCCCCGUUUCCCCCCUUUUUCCGUUCCCUAUCCUCCCCCCCCUAUUUUUGGAAAAUAAUGUUUUUUUUUAGUAAGGAAAACCCGGUCCCUCUUUAACCUUCCCUCAACCCCGGAAAAUCCAUAGGAUUUUUGUCCUUGUUUUCCCCCCCCCUUUAAAACCCCAAAAUUACCCCCCCGUUUUUCUAACAAACUAUAGACCCCCCACCCCCCUGCCCCCCCNNNNNNNNNNNNNNNNNNNNNNNNNNNNNNNNNNNNNNNNNNNNNNNNNNNNNNNNNNNNNNNNNNNNNNNNNNNNNNNNNNNNNNNNNNNNNNNNNNNNAAAAAAAAGGGGGGGGGGGGUGGGUGGUGGUUUUUAAAAAAAAAAGGUUUUUUAUUUUUUUUUUGGGAAUUUUGGGGGGAAAAUUUUUUUUUUUUUUUUGGGGAGGGGGGGUUUUUUUUGGGGGAAAAAAGGGUAAAUUAAAGGGGUGGAAAAGGGAAGGGUGGUAAAGGGUGGGGGUAGGAAAUAAAAUUUUUAUUGGGGAGGGGAGAUAAAAGAGAGGAGGGGUUAUGGGGGAAAAAAAAAAAAAAGGGGAAAGAAAAAAUUUGGGGGGGGGGGGGGGGGGGGGGGGGGGGGAUAGAAGAUUUUCUAGAGAGAGCAGAAAAAGAGAGCUUGGAGUCAGGCGAGCUUUUGUUUGAGAGGAGGCUUUUCAGGUAAGGACCCUGUAUUCACCAUUGUUUCUGUUCAUUAUCUUCUCCAUCUUAUUUUUGGAUAUUAUUGUUUGUUUUGAGUAUGGAUAUCAGGUUACAUGUUUAGCUUUCAUUGAUCUCUGGAAUAUCUAUGGAUUUGUUGUCAUUGUUUUAUCAUCUCUUUGAUAUCUCAAAAUUUACACCCCUGUUUUUGUAUGAACUUAUGGUCCCUCAACCCGCUUGCAAGCCCGUGGAUGGAACAAAUAAAUAGGGCUUUUUUUUUUUCUUUCUCUAUACUCUGUUUUAGUAAAAGUUCCUUUCAUGUUUUCUUCUGUCCUUAAUGGAAUUGUUCUUAAGCGUGGUGCAGUUUGGGUUGGACUGAUGGGUUUGGUUCUUUGAACUGUUCAUGGCAUUAUCCGCAUUUGGACCAAGUUACGACUGUUGAGACACAAUGAAGGGAUCCCUGAAGAAGGCAUUACGGUUGAAAAAGUCGAGAAUCCUCCUCUUAUGGAUAUUCCCACUGAAACUGGUUCAAAAGCAGUUGGAAAUUACGCCCUUGAACACGUCAGUGAGCAUGAGGACCAUACCCACAUUCUCAUUACCCUCCAUCCUCUAUUCCACCAUACCCAUUUUUCACCUCCAUCACGCAUGGCACGAGACUUCUUUUUUGCAAAAAACACCCAACAUACCCAUUACCCUAUGUAUCUUUCCACCUCUCAAUACCCACAAAAACCAUUCCCCCAACCGUGCCCAUCACCACUUCCUUAACUGCACCACCAAUCCCCUUUCUCUCUCUAAGUCUUCAUCUCCCAACACCCACUAAACUCAUUUUCUUACUGAUAAUGGAGACACAUCCCUACACCAGCUUAAGAACCUUUGCAUUCGCUGCACCCAAAACGGAGCAGUAUGGUGUUCGUUUGCUGAAAUUCCACAUUUUGGAAAGACAUCAUUACCGGCAUCGAUGGAAUGUGUAUCAUCAAUGAGCUCAUUGCAACUGCCAUUGCCUGUGGCUUUGAUAAGGAGGCCACCAAUGUUGGUGAGAAGAAUGCCACCAGCCACAUGUUGAUUUAUAUGAGGACUAUGCAAUAGGCUAUAUUUCUAGGUCAACCUACCAUGCAUUUUAUAUAUAUAUUGGUUUUCUAAGUGGUAUUUUCCAAGGAAAGUUGUUUGGCAGCCCAUGCACGGCCACUUUUGCAUGCCCCAUUCCUUUCAUUUUAUUUUAUUAUCCUACAUGUCAGAAUCAAGACUCUCAAAGUUUUAGUUUUCAAUUUUUUUUUACUCUAUUUUUUUUAGUUCUUCAAAACUCCGACUCUUGGACGUAAUUUUAAAAAAAAAUUCAAUCUUUAAAUAAUUUUUUCAAAAAUUGGACUUCUGAAUUUAAUUUUCAAUUUAAAAAAUUCCAAGUUUUACAUUCAUUUCUUUAAUCUUUAUUGUUUACAUCAUUAUUAUUAUCUUAUUUACUUACUUACUUAUUUAUUUAUUUAUUUAUUUCCCAAAUUCCAUCUUAAAAAAAAAAAAAGAAAUCUCAAAAUUAUAACUUCCAAAUUUAAUUUUCGAAUCUAAAAAAUUCCACUAUUCAUGUUCAUUCAUUUAAGUAUUAUUUUCGUUAUUAUUAUUAUUAUUUCAUUUAUUUAUUUAUUUCUUUUAAAAAUUUCAAUCAUUAAAGUUCAAUUCUUAAAAAAUAUGACUUCCAAAUUUAAUUUUCAAUCUAAAAAAUUUCACUAUUCACGUUCAUUUGUUUAAAUAUUAUUGUUAUUAUUAUUAUAAUUAUUAUUAUUAUUAUUCCAUAUUUAUUUAUUUAUUUCUUUUAAAAAUUUCAAUUAUUAAAGUUUAAUUCUUCAAAAAUCUGACUUUCAAAUUUAAUUUUAAAUCUAAAAAAUUUCACUAUUCACAUUCAUUCGUUUAAAUAUUAUUUUUGUUAUUAUUAUUAUUAUUAUUCCAUAUUUAUUUAUUUAUUUCUUUAAAAAAAAUUUCCCAUCAUUAAAGUUCUAUUCUUAAAAAAUCUGACUUCCAAAUUUAAUUUUCAACCUAAAAAAUUCCACUAUUCACGUUCAUUCAUUUAAAUAUUAUUUUCGUUGUUAUUAUCAUUAUUUCAUUUAUUUAUUUGUUUAUUUUCUUUAAAAAUUCCAAUCAUUAAAGUUCAAUUCUUCAUAAAUCUGACUUCCAAAUUUAAUUUUCAAUUUAAAAAAUUCCACUAUUCACGUUCAUUCGUUUAAAUAUUAUUUUUGUUAUUAUUAUUAUUAUUUCAUAUUUAUUUAUUUAUUUAUUUUAAAAUUUUCGUAUUUAAACAAUUCUUAAAAAAUAUGACUUCCAAAUCUAAUUUCCAAUCUCAAAAAAUUCCACUAUUUACAUUAAUUUGUUUAAUGAUUAUUUUCGUUAUUAUUAUUAUUCCAUUCAUUUACUUAUUCACUUAUUCAUAUAUUUAAAAUUCCAUCUCUAAAUGAUUUUUCGAAUUUCCAAUCUCUAAAUUCAAUUUCCAAUUUCCAAAAUUCUAACUUUCGUAAUUAUUUAUUCAAUCAUUAUUAUUUUGUCAUUAUUAUUAUUCCAUUCAUUUAUUUAUUCACUUAUUCAUUUAUUUAAAAUUUCGUCUUUAAAUAAUUAUUCAAAAUUCCGAUUUCCAAAUUUAGUUCUCUAAAAUUCCAAUUUUCCUAUCUCCGAACUUCAUUUUCAGUUUCCAAUAUUCUAAUUCUCGCAUUUAUUCAGUUACUCAUUUAUUAUUAUCAUUAUUACUAUUAUCAUUUUAUUCAUUUAUUUCUAAAAAUUCCACUUUCGAAUGAUUUCCAAGAUUUCCAAUUUUUAUAAUUCAAUUUUCAUAGUUUUUACUUCUCAAAUAAUUUUCAAUUAUGAUUUCUUUCAAAAUUUAUCCAAAGUCCCAAUUUUCGUAAUUUAUUUAUUUAUUUUUAAAUCCUAAACUCUCAAAUAAUUGCCAAAAUUUCAAUUUCUUUCAAAUUUAAUUUCCAAAAUUUUCAUUCUUACAUUUAAUUCCUAAAAAUCCAAUUUUCAAAUAAUCUCUAAGAUUUCAAUUUUCAAAUGAAUUUCAAAAAUCCAGUUUUUCCUCGAACAGUUUUAAUUUUUGUUUGGUGAUGCAUGUGAUAUGUGUUGUGUUCUUUAUUGUACACUAACCCCAUUUUUAUGAUAGCACAUUGCUCGUUCAUGGCCUAGGUAUGCAUCCACUCUCAUUCUAGUCAUUUUCUAUGCAUGUUUUGAUUCUCAUACGUACAUGAUCGAUUUGAGUAUCCAUUGAUUUUCCUAUUGAUUGCCACGUCAGCUUCAUUUUAUUAGUAGAGACUCGACUUUAGGGACUUAGAGGGGUGCUACAGUCUUUACCGUACCUUCCUGAUAAGUAAUCUGGCCCUCGAGCCCAAUCCGAUUUUUCACAGACCACAUUUUCCAAAAUAAGGAGUCACACUUAGAGUUUUCUUUCUUAUUUUGUUUACCCUUUUAAAAAUAAAACAAAAUAAUGAUUGGAUAAAUAAUUGUGAAAGUUAGAAUUUUGGAAAUUGGAAAUUGAACUUAGGGAUUGGAAAUUUAAAGAACUAUUUAGAGAUGAAAUUUUAAAUAAACGAACAAAUGAAUAAAUAAAUAAAUAGAAUAACGAAAAUAAUAACGAUUGGAUAAAUAAUUGCGAAAUUUGGAAUUUUAGAAAUUGGAAAAUGAAUUUAAAGAUUGGAAAUUCGAAGGAUUAUUUAGAGAUGAGAUUUUAAAUAUAUGAAUAAGUGAAUAAGUAAAUGAAUGGAAUAAUGAUAAUAACGAAAAUAAUCAUUAAACAAAUGAAUGUGAAUAGUGGAAUUUUUUAAAUUGGAAAUUAGAUUUGGAAGUCAGAUUUUUUAAGAAUUGUUUAAAGACGGAUUUUUUUUAAAAAGAAAUAAAUAAAUGGAAUAAUAAUAAUAAUAACGAAAAUAAUACUUAAACGAAUGAACGUGAAUAGUAAAAUUUUUGAGAUUGAAAAUUAAAUUUGGAAAACGGAAUUUUGAAAAAUUGAACUUCAAUGAUUGGAAUUUUUAAAGGAAAUAAACAAAUAAAUAAAUGAAAUAAUGGUAAUAAUAACAAAAAUAAUAUUUAAACGAAUGAACGUGAAUAGUGAAAUUUUUUAGAUUGAAAAUUAAAUUUGGAAGUCAGAUUUUUUAAGAAUUGAACUUUAAUGAUUGGAAUUUUAAAAAGAAAUAAAUAAAUAAAUAUGGAAUAAUAAUAACAAUAACAAAAAUAAUAUUUAAAUGAAUGAACAUGAAUAGUGGAAUUUUUUAUAUUGAAAGUUAAAUUUGGAAGUCAAAUUUUUGAAGAAUUAAACUUUAAUGAGUGGAAAAUUUAAAAUAAAUAAAUAAAUAUGGAAUAAUAAUAAUAAUAACGAAAAUAAUAUUUAAACGAAUGAAUGUGAAUAGUGGAAUUUUUUAGAUUGAAAAUUAAAUUUAGAAGUUAGAUUUUUGAAGAAUUGAAUUUUAAUGAUUGAAAUUUUUAAAAGAAAGAAAGAAAUAAAUAAAUAGAAUUAUAAUAAUAAUAAUAAAAAUAAUAUUUAAACGAAUGAACGUGAAUAGUGAAAUUUUUGAGAUUGAAAAUUAAAUUUUGAAGUCAGAUUUUUAAAAAAUUGAACUUUAAUGAUUUGAAUUUUUAAAAGAAAUAAUUAAAUAAAUAAAUGGAAUUAUAAUAAUAAUAACGAAAAUAAUAUUUAAACGAAUGAAUGUGAAUUGUGAAAUUUUUAAAAUUGAAAAUUAAAUUCGGAAAUCGGAAUUUUAAGAAUUACUUAAAGGUAGAAUUUUAAAAGUGAAUAAAUAAAAUAAUAAUAAUAACAAAAAGAAUAAUGAGUAAAUAAAUAAAUAUGGAAAUGGGAAAGCUUUAAAAAUUAUUUGAGAGGUGGAAUCAUGAAAGGAAUUUUGGAAAACUGGAGUUAGGAAAACUGUUAAAAUAAUAAGAAAAUAAAUAAAAAGUCAAAAACUUACUGGGCCAUGUGCCAAAGUGACCACACUUAGAGGUGGCCAAAGUGGAAAAAGGUUUUCAAAUGAUGUUUGAACAUCCUGGCAGCCCAAAGAAAAAUAAAACGAAGUGUUGCAACGUGCACAUCAUGAAUUUACAUCUGUGGCCCCACCAUCAACUACAAGAUAUUUCCAAUUGUAAUGCCUUAGAUACUUUCUAGCAUCAUUUAAUGCAACCUCAUAAGAAGUCAAAAUUAUAGGAAAUUUGGGGCUAAUUUUUCUUGGCAUAUACUUCAUUCGUAUUUGAUCUCUUUCUUUCCUAUUGCCGUGGUAGAUUAUUGCAUUUAUUGAGGGCACAAACCUUGCUAUUUCAUUUGCCCAGUUUGAGAGAGUAGGAAGAGGAGCAAUGACCAAUUAGGGGCCAUCUAACCCCUUUCCUAUUUUCCCCACACCGAUCAAAGAGAUAUUUCUGGGCAUUCAAACUCAAUGCUGCAUAAAUGGGAUGAGAACCACAUAGCUAAAAUGCCGCUCAAUAGAAACAGACCAAUAACAAUUUGCCAUUUCACAAAUUCUUCACUCUUUCUUCUCCACAGGAAGAAAGAAAAAAAUAAAAAUAAAAAUACACAAACACUUAUCCCCCUUUUGAGGUUUUCACUGUAAAAAUGCCUCAAUUAAGGUACCUGACAAUUUAGAGACACAGAUGAGCCACAAAUUUCACUGGCACAAUCAAAUCUUCAGGCAAAAACGCAUACAGUUGAAGGAACAUAUAAAGAAAGCAUCAGAUGGAAUAAAAAUAUAGGAAAUUGAGUGCACAAAAGGGGUUACGAAUGUAAAAUUCACAGGCAAGGCAAUCGAUGCAGCGAAGCGAAAUAAAAUAUCAGGAUGAAUUCCGCUGGAAAAGUCGUCAAAUUCAACAAAAACUGAUCUCACCUAAAAGACCACUUUUCAAAGGAAAGCUCGCCUGACUCUGAGCUCUGUUUUUUGCUCCUUCCCGGAAAUCCUCUAUCCCCAAGCUAUCCACCCUCAAACUAGUUUCUUCUCAAGCUCCUCAAAUUUUCCUCCAGGCAAGAUCGCUCCUCCAACCAAGCCCCCGAAAUUUUUUUUGGAAUCCUCUUAAACGCCAGAAAAACCUCCUAUCCUUUCUUCUUUCUUCUUUCUUCUCUCACAAGUCUUCACCUGCUCCCUACUACCACCAUGCUGUCUUUGCCACAUGUCCCAUGCGGCUUGCCCCCUCCAGAAAGAGGUCCCCCCACUUCCAAAAAUGAAAAAAUUUCAAUUCCCAGGUCGUCUGCAAAAGGGGUCUACAGAUAUUAAUUAAUAAAUAAUAUUUAUAAAUAGAUAUAUUAAAUAUGUUAUCUUAUAAUAUGAUUAUAUUAAUAGAAAAUAUGUUGUAAUAUAUUACAAUAGCAUAUUAUCUGUUAUAAAAUAUGAGAUUUUGUACCAUUAUGGUAACUUGUAGAUGAUCAUCCAUAUAUAUAUAUAUUGUAAUUCCCUGUAAAAUGGAAGGACCCAUAAUGAAAUUCUAUUGAGUUUUCUCGUGCAUUUUCAUUAUUUCUUUAUAUAUAUAUUUAUAUUUAUUGUAACUCCCUGUAAAAUGGAGGGACCCCUAAUGAAAUUCUAUUGAGUUUUCUCGUGCAUUUUAUCAUUUCUUUCUAUCUUCUUUUUUCACUUUUAUAACACGUUAUUAGCACGAUAGUCUCUACAAAAGAAAUAGAAAGAUUUUUCUCUCUUCAGAGAAAUAAAAAGACUGUCAUCUUUUUUAUCCCACAAAAAGGUAUGUCAUAAACUUAUAUAAUAAUUUUCUAUUUUAUUUAUAUAUGUGAUAAAAUUACCUUUUGAUUUUCUAUUUCACUUAUUUUAUUUGAAUACAUAAAUAUGUGCAAUCCCUAUAACCAGAAGUUAUGGGGUAAAUUACAAAAUUACAAAAACAUGGCCAGAAGUUAUGUAUAUGAUCCCUAAUUAUCUAUUUUUAAUUAUACGAUAUAACUGGAAGUUAUACCAAACAAUAUUAUAUAGCCAGAAGCUAUAAAAGUAAAUAGUUCAUAACCUGAAGCUAUAUACAAAUCUACAUAGUGAAAAUUCAUAGCCUGAAGCUAUGAAUGAUAUUAUCUUUUGAUUUCUUUUAAUUAUAUUGUAUAACCGAAUGUUAUAAAAAAAAAAAAAAAAUUAUAGCCAAAGGCUAUACAAUAAAUAUUUCAUGACUUGAAGUUAUGUAUAAAUUUAUACAUUUUUGUUACGAUAAAAUAGAAUGUUUAUUAGAAACUACAUUAAAAAUGUUUUCAUGGUCAAAAGCUAUAUAAGCCAUACUUUUUGUACUUAAGGCAGAAAUUUGAAAAUAUUGAUAUUUUAAUUUUGUAUAGCCGGAAGCUAUAUAGAGAAUUUCUAACUACGGUAUAACUAGAAGUUAUACGAACUAAAUUGUCAAUUAAUAAUUUUAUAAAAUUUUAUAGCUAGAAGCUAUAUAGAGAAUAUUUUAUAGUAAUAAAAUUAUGGCUAGAAGUUUUGACAAAUUUAUUCUUUAGAUAAUAUUGCAUUGUUAGCUAAUUUCUUGAAUUCAUAGUAAUUAUUUUACUUUAUGAUAAUAUGAAAAAUGUUUAUCAUGAUCAAUCUAUGUAGAGAAGGAAAGUAUAUAUUCAUAUACAUUCUUAUAAUUAGAAGUUAUAUAAUAAUUUGUAUUUGAUGGCUUGAAGCAACAUGAAAAAUAAUUUGUAUAUUGUUAUAGCCUAAAACUACAUGAAUAAUUAAUUUGCAUAUUUUUAUAGCCCGAAGUUAUAUGAAAAACUUUUAUAUAUUCUUGUAGGCCAAAACUUGAAGCUAUAUGGAAAUUUUUUUGUGUAUAUUUUAUAUCUUGAAAAAAAAAUGUAAAAUAUUUUCAUAGCCUAAAGUUCUAUGAAAGAAAAUAGGUAUUUCAUAUAAAUGAAAACUAUAGAGAUUAUUAUUUUAUAUGUUAUUACAGCUAAAAGCUAUAAAAAAAAACAAAGUUAAUAUUAUAUAAUUUCUCAUAACUAAGAUCUAUGUUGAAUAAUUAAUUUUAUAAUCUUCCAUGGCUAGAAGCCAUAUAGAAAAUUUAUGAUUUGAAGUCAUAUAUGUAAAACAAAAUAUAUGUUAUACAUAAAUAGAGAUUAUUAUAAGUAUUAUGAUAUAAACAUUGUUGUUUCGCUUAUAGCCUAGAUUUACAAGAAUUUUAUAUAUUUUUAUAACUUGAAGUUAUGAAAUAUGAAUUCUUCUUUUUUUAAGAAUUCAAUUAUUGACAUCCUUAAUUUUCUAUGUUUUGCAUUUGAAUGUAUCAUUAGUAUUCUUUCUAUUAGAUAUGAAGGUUUAAAUAUUUAGAUCUAUAAUUUUCAUACUUCAUUUUUUAGUUAAAUUUUUCACAUUCUUUCUAUUAUGAAACAUGAAUACUCAUCAUGUUUCAUGAAAAGGCAUAGUUAAAAUUUUCACAUUUAUUAAUUUAUUUAAAUAUUUUUAGUUUUCUAUUUAGUUUGUUAUUGUAGGUAAUUUCUAUGUCAUUAAAGUAUGAUAGUCCUUUAGUUCUUUAGAAUAAUAUAGAAGAAAGUAUACCCACUAAAAGACUACGAUCCUCUUUUAAGUUCUCUAUAACUAGAUGUAAUUGAGAAUAGUGAGUUUUUCAUUAAUAACCACCAAUAUUUUCUAAUCGGAUUGGAAUUGUUCCCCAAAGUGAAAUCCAACCGAUUAGGAAUACGAUCAUAGAAUAGGAUAUGAUCUAAAUCUAGUAUACAAUAACUUCUUAAUCCAUGAGGGUCAUUGUUUCCCCAAGAAGAAAUUUAGACCAUACCACCAGAAGUGGUGAAAUGAAAUGAAAAAAAAGGGUUAGGUUUGUAGUAUAAGCCUACCAAAGUUGAACAAAAAAUCAUUGUUGAUGCAUACUAGUCAUACGAUCAAGCAUUUCAUUGACUUUUACCAAAAUUAAAAGAAAAAAAAAAAUAGUAAAUAGAAGGUUAACAUAUCUAGAUUAUUAUAACUUUCUUAAGAAAUCCUAAUGAUAAAAUUUACUAAUUGAUUGGUGAUGGAAAAAAUGUUUAUUCUUAUGUAGGAUCUUUACUUUCUCAUGUUGUGUCUUUUUUAUCUAAUAUAGUACAUAUCAUAUUUGCUAAUAAAUGUUUAUGUUUUAUUUACAUAUAGUAUUGAUUGCUUAAUAAGUAUAUUCUAAGAUGUAUAUCUCAUUAUUUGUACAAUAUGUAAUAAUUGAUGUCAUUACCAUAUCAAUUUAUGGAAACUUGAUUGAAAGCUCUUGAAGAGCUUAUAUUAUGUCACUAGUUGAUUGAUGUCAUUACUACAUAUAUGAAUUUAUAAAAACCCGAUUAAAGGCUCUAGACGAGCUCAUACUAUGUUACUAAUGGCACACGAAUCCAUAUGAAUGGUACUUGACAUUCUAUCAAAUCUAGAAGAAUUUGAGAUGACCAACUUGGUCCCCCCAGGGUGAACAAUGAUGCAUCAACUCCUUGAAAUAUCAAAUGGGGAUUCAUUAAAGAACUAGAAGUUUCUUCAACUAGUGACUAGUAUAUUUGAACCUUUGAAGGAUAUUAUUACAUGUUAUGUAAAUUUAUAGUUUAAAGAGACAAUUUCCCACCAUUGGGGGGNNNNNNNNNNNNNNNNNNNNNNNNNNNNNNNNNNNNNNNNNNNNNNNNNNNNNNNNNNNNNNNNNNNNNNNNNNNNNNNNNNNNNNNNNNNNNNNNNNNNNNNNNNNNNNNNNNNNNNNNNNNNNNNNNNNNNNNNNNNNNNNNNNNNNNNNNNNNNNNNNNNNNNNNNNNNNNNNNNNNNNNNNNNNNNNNNNNNNNNNNNNNNNNNNNNNNNNNNNNNNNNNNNNNNNNNNNNNNNNNNNNNNNNNNNNNNNNNNNNNNNNNNNNNNNNNNNNNNNNNNNNNNNNNNNNNNNGGGGGGGGGGGGGCAAGUCAAUUCUAGAAGAAUGGCGAGACAUUACAUGGUAUGUACCUUCUUUGUCUCAUCUGCAUCCCUGUACAAGGUAGUGUGAACUAGAAGUUCAAAGGAUUAUUCAUUUGUAAGGACUUGCAAAUUAGUUACCUAAUGUUUUCACAAAUAUAAAAAAAAGUAACAAAGUCACACAUGUCGACUAUGAAUACCCUGACACAUAUUGAUGUCUCUAAAGGACAAUUGAAAAAUGCCAUAGCAAGUGAAUUAAUACACACUUAAAGCGUGGUAGACCUGUUGGAUCAAAGGAUUUAGUUCCUAAAAAAAAAAAAAAAAAAGGAACAACAUAAGAAAAGUUUGGUACUCUUGAAGAGCUUACAAAUAUGAAAUGGUCAAAUGAUGAAAACCAACUUGGUAAAUAGUUAGCCCUUGAAGAGACACAAAUUGAUCAAAUACCGGCUAAACUCGUUAGCAAAACAAGAGGAAUUUGGACUUGUAGUUCAAACACCUAGAAACAUAAAGCCUAUUGCAUAUAAAUGGAUCUUUGUGAGAAAGUGAAAUGAGAAUAAUAAAAUAGUAAGAUAUAAAGCACAACUUGUUGCUUAAGGUUUCUCUCAAAGACUUGGUAUAAACUAUAAGGAAACUUAUUCCCCUAUAAUGGAUGUAAUCACAUUUUGAUACUUGAUAAGUUUAAUGGUCUUUGAAGGGCUAGAUAUGUGUCUCAUGGAUGUUGCUACAGCUUAUUUAUAUAGGUUUAUAUAUAUAUAUAUAUAUAUAUAUAUAUAUGAAAGUCCUUAAAUGAUUUAAAUUACCUAAAGAAACUAAUCCAAAGCCUCAAAACAUGUACUCAAUCAAACUAAUCUCUAUACAGAUUAAAGCAAUCUAGACGCAUGUGGUAUAAUGGUUUGAGUGAGUAUUUGUUAAAAGAAGGAUAUGUGAAUAAUCCAAUUUGACCAUGUGUUUUUAUCAAGAAAUUGAAAAUUGGGCUUACAAUAAUUGCAGUAUAUGUGGAUGAUUUGAACCUUAUAGGGACUCCUAAAGAGCUCACAAAAACAUCCAAUCAUUUAAAGAAGGGAUUUGAAAUUAAAGAUUUAGGAAAACAAAACAUUGUCUCGGCUUGCAGAUCAAACAUUGUUCAAAUAACAUAUAAGUCCAUCAAUUGACAUAUAUAGAGAAAGUAUUAAAAUGAUUUUAUAUGGAAAAAUCACGUCCACUUGAUUCUCCCAUGGUUGGUCAUUCACUUGAAGUGAAUAAAGACCUGUUUCGUCAUAGAGAAGAAAAUGAAGAAUUGUUUGGUCCAAAAGUACCAUAUCUCAGCGCAAUCGGUGCAAAAUGUAUCUUGCAAAUUGUACUAGACUAGACAUAGCAUUUUCUGUUAACUUGCUUGCAAGAUACAUUUUUGCCCCAACUAGAAGGCAUUGGAACGGGAUUAAACAUAUAUUGCGAUACCUUUGUGGAACAAGUGAUCAUGGCUUAUGUUAUUCAAAAGAAUUAAAAUCGCAAUUGAUUGAGUAUGCUAAUGUAGGAUAUCUUUCAGAUCCCCAUAAAGCUCAAUCCCAAAUGGGAUAUGUCUUUACUUAUGGUGGUACAACAAUAUCUUGAAGAUCAAUCAAGCAAACGAUGGUAGUCAUCUUUUCAAAUCAUUCAGAAAUUCUUGCAAUUCAUGAAGCAAGUCAUGAAUGUAUAUGACUAAGGUCAAUGAUUCAACAUAUUCAAGAAACAUGUGGACUACCUUCCAUAAGAGGCAAUACAACUAAAUUACAUGAAGAUAUUGUUGCUUGUAUUGUAAAAAUUAAAGGAGGAUUCUGAUUACUACUCAAAAAGUGCUAUUUGAUAGCCUUUAAUUAAUCCUUUUUAACACUUUUGAGUAGUAGUUUAGGCCUUUUAACUCAAUUGGCAUGUUAAGGAUCCUUUAAAGCAAUUUUGAUCACUUUGUGUAAGUUUUGGUGCUUUUGAUAGUAUAUUGAUCACCAAAGCAAGUCAAGACUGAGGAGAGCUAUGAGGAAUCUUGGGCAAAGUUUAGAAUUCAUUUGCCAAGAGUGAAUCCGGAUUGCAAGGAGAAAAAGCAAAGAGGAUCAGUCAUGGAGCAUAUUAUUGAUGAUAGUCGUAGCAGCCACUUUUGAAGCACUUUCUGAAGUCCAAAUGAUGCAUGCUAUAUACCAUUUCAAAGCUCAGGAAGUCAACAAUCCAAUACUUCAAACGGUGCGUGAUUCGGAGUUGAAACGAAGAAGUUGCAGCCAUUACAAGUCAAUCACUCUAAAGUGUUGCGGAAUCAGCCUUUUGUUGCGAGAAUUUCGCAGCACUUUUGUACAGUAAGGUGUUUCUCCUUCUGACGAUUCACGAACCAUGCCGCGAGAAGGGAGCUGGGAACCUCAAGGUGGAAGCCAACUUCGCAGCCUGGUGAAGAUAGCUCGGUGUUGCGAAAUAAUUUCGCAGCCCUCUUGGGUGUCUGCGAAAUUUCGCAGACACCAUUUUUCUCCUGCGAAAUGGUUCCUGAAGCCUCCCGACGCUUGCUACCGACAUUGGGAGAUAUUUUCCAUUAGAUUUUUGUUGUCUAAAUCCCAAAAUACUCCUUGUAAACCACCAAUUACAUGAUUCCUUAGUUUUUAAGUUAGUAAAAAGACCAAAUAUCUUUGUAACAAUUAGUUUUAUAUUGGUUUGAUAUAUAUACCUCUCGAGAGCCUGUACUCGGGGAGGAGUUCCUUCUGUAAGAGUUUAGGAAGCAAGUAAAAGGUCUUUUCUUUCUACUGCCUUACCUUCUCACUUUGUAUUUUCAUUUUAUUUCUAAGUUAUGAAUUCUCUGAGGAGUUUUCCCCAGAGAAUGAGUAACUAAACCUCCAAUUCCUUGGAGCUAAGGUUGUCGGGGAAGGUUCCAAGUGCAAGAAUGCAAAGCUCUGUGGUUUUAGCUAGUAAUGAAGAGGAAGUGAAAUCCUUUAGUGAUUUCAAUGUUUUUAGUUAACUUAAAACACCUUGGAGUCACCUGGGCCAACACUUGGUAAGGCAAGUGAUUUCCAACCAUGGAAAUGCACUAGUUUACCCCUUGCGAGCCUCUGGUAGGUGUCUUCAAGGUAGGAUUCUGGAAUUACCAACACUUGGUAAGCUUUUGGACUCCUAGGAGACAUCCAUUAGUUAUCUCUUGCGAGUUUGUGAAGGGAAGUCCAAGGUUAAAGAUCACCUUGAAUGGUAAGUGCUCGUGAGAGGCAUGAACCAUUGCAAGUUGUAUCAGUGAGAGAAUUAAAGUGAAAUCUAAUUGAAGGAGUCUCUGUACAUCACCGGUUAGAGAAUUGACUAUAAGUUGAAUCUCUAAUGCGAGGAAAUGAACCAACUGACCGGAGCUAUGUCUUUUGCAUGAGGAACCACCCCAGUGAACCUAAAUCUCCAAGGAAUGUUUUUUUUCCUAAAUUAUUCCAAACUUCUGUUAAGUUAGUUAGUUUAAGUCUCAACCUUUACCAAUCAAAGUUUGUGUUUUAUUUCUUAAGUUAACCGUGAAAUGAAGCAAGACCAAUUCACUUGGAAUUGGUAUCCUUGAUUGCUUGUUCAUCAUUCCCAGUGAACGAUCCUAGAGCCACUAUACUAUAGUAGCUUUUUAUUUGCUACCCUAGUGUAUGGUGUUAUAGGUAUAAAUUUUGUUGAUCACUUCCUCAAUCAAGGAGCACCAGCUGAACACAAAUCAGCUGAGACACCAAUUGGACAUGAGUCAAAUGGCGCCGUUGCCGGGGAAUGAGUGUCAAGUUCAUUGUGAUACCAUUUUUGAGCACUUGUGAUUUUCAUCACAAGUUGGUAAAGUUUCUUUCACUUUACUAAUUUUCAUUCUUUCUUUGUUUAUUCAUAAUCUAAGUUUAUCUUUUUAAAAUUUAGUCUAGUUUAAUUUUGCUAUUGUAGCCCUGUUUCUCUUGUUGUCCUUUGUUCUUGUUGUCCUCUGUUUUCAUUUUUAGUUGCAGGUAGAUACUAGUUGUGUAUGCCAAAGUGGAUACGAGACAUUGGAGGUAGGCUUAUUAAGUGUGAUACACCUCAGAGAGGAGAAUUUGAAGUAAUCUUGAAUAUCAUGGAGGCUGCACCUGAAGAUCAGCAUAGUCACCAAGGUCGUCAAGACAAUCUCAAUGAAUUCCGAUCAAUGAGGGACCAUAUGCAUCCACCUCGUAUGAGUGCACCAUCAUGUAUAGUGCCCCCUACAGAGCAGCUAGUGAUCAGACCGUAUCUUGUUCCACUUCUACCAACUUUCCAUGGGAUGGAAAGUGAGAAUCCGUAUGCACACAUCAAGGAAUUUGAAGAUGUUUGUAAUACAUUCCAAGAGGGAGGAGCUUCAAUUGAUUUGAUGAGGCUUAAGUUAUUUCCUUUCACUUUAAAGGAUAAGGCCAAAAUUUGGCUUAAUUCUUUAAGGCCAAGGAGUAUCCGCUCUUGGACUGAUUUACAAGCUGAAUUCCUCAAGAAAUUUUUUCCUACUCAUAGAACAAAUGGCUUGAAAAGGCAAAUUUCAAACUUCUCAGCUAAAGAGAAUGAGAAAUUCUAUGAGUGUUGGGAAAGAUACAUGGAAGCUAUAAAUGCUUGUCCUCACCAUGGCUUUGAUACUUGGCUAUUGGUGAGCUAUUUUUAUGAUGGUAUGUCAUCCUCAAUGAAGCAACUCCUCGAGACAAUGUGUGGAGGAGAUUUCAUGAGCAAAAAUCCAGAGGAAGCUAUGGAUUUCUUGAGCUAUGUAGCUGAUGUUUCAAGGGGAUGGGAUGAACCAACUAAAGGAGAAGUGGGAAAGAUGAAGUCUCAGUUGAAUGCUUACAAUGCAAAAGCUGGGAUGUAUAAUUUAAAAGAAGAUGAUGACAUGAAAGCAAAGUUGGCAGCUAUGACAAGAAGAUUGGAGGAGCUGGAGCUGAAAAAAAUACAUGAAGUGCAAGCUGUUGCUGAAGCACCAGUGCAAGUGAAGCUGUGUCCCAAUUGUCAAUCAUUUGAACAUUUGGUUGAGGAGUGCCCUGCAAUUUCAGCUGAAAGGGAAAUGUAUAGAGAUCAAGCAAAUGUUGUUGGACAAUUUAGGCCCAAUAACAAUGCUCCUUAUGGAAAUACCUACAAUUCAAGUUGGAGGAAUCAUCCAAAUUUCUCAUGGAAGGCCAGAGCAACUCAAUACCAACAGCCGGAUCCACCAUCUCAGCAAUCUUCAAGUAUUGAACAAGCAAUAGCCAAUCUCAGCAAGGUAAUGGGAGAUUUUAUUGAAAAGCAAGAAGCCACUAAUGCUCAACUCGAUCAAAGGAUUGACAGGGUGGAGAGUAUGUUGAAUAAAAGAAUGGAUGGAAUGCAAAAUGAUAUGAACCAAAAGUUUGAUAACAUCCAAUAUUCAAUUUCAAGGCUUACAAAUUUGAAUACACUGCAAGAAAAAGGAAGAUUUCCUUCUCAACCUCACCAAAAUCCCAAAGGUGUCCAUGAAGUGGAAAGCCAUGAGGGAGAAUCAUCACAGGUGAAAGAUGUGAAAGCUUUGAUCACUCUAAGGAGUGGUAAAAAGAUUGAGCAGCCAACACCCAAGCCACAUGUUGAAAAAGAAGAAGAGAUAAAGAAAGGGAAGGAAAUGGAAGAUAAAGAGAGUGAGAUCAGUGAAGAAAAGAAGGACUCUGAUUCAACAAUCAAAGCAAUUCCAGAGAAAGAGCUUCUGAAGGAAGAAAUGCUGAAGAAAUCAACUUCUCCACCUUUUCCUCAAGCAUUACAGGGGAAAAAGGGGGUUAGAAAUGCAGCUGAAAUCCUUGAAGUCUUGAGGCAAGUGAAAGUUAAUAUUCCACUGCUGGAUAUGAUCAAACAAGUUCCAACGUAUGCAAAAUUCCUUAAGGACUUGUGUACUAUCAAAAGAGGGUUGACUGUAAAUAAGAAAGCCUUCUUGACUGAGCAAGUAAGUGCAAUCUUACAGUGUAAGUCUCCUUUGAAGUACAAAGACCCUGGAAGUCCCACCAUUUCAGUCAUGAUUGGAGGAAAGGUAGUGGAGAAAGCCUUGCUAGACUUGGGAGCAAGUGUGAAUUUGCUUCCAUACUCUGUCUACAAGCAACUGGGACUUGGAGAGUUGAAGCCAACAGCAAUCACUUUAUCUCUGGCAGAUAGAUCAGUGAAAAUUCCAAGAGGGGUAAUUGAGGAUGUAUUGGUUCAAGUAGAUAAUUUCUACUAUCCAGUCGAUUUUAUUGUUCUUGAUACAGAUCCUACUGUAAAGGAAGCUAAUUUAGUUCCUAUCAUCCUUGGAAGGCCAUUUCUUGCAACUUCAAAUGCAAUCAUUAAUUGUAGAAAUGGGCUUAUGCAACUCACUUUUGGUAAUAUGACACUGGAUCUAAAUAUUUUCUAUAUGUCUAAAAAGCAUAUCACUCCGGAAGAAGAAGAAGGUCCAGAAGAGCUAUGUAUUAUUGACACUUUGGUGGAGGAGCACUGCAAUCAACAUAUGCAAGACAAGUUGAAUGAAAGUCUUGAGGAUAUUGAGGAAGGAUUUUCUGAAUCUCCUAUUGGGCUUGCUACUCUACAAAGUUGGAAAAAGGUAGAAGAGAUUCUACCUUUGUUCAAUAAGGAAGAGGAGGCAGCUGUUGAAAAAGAAAUUCCAAAACUCAAUCUGAAGCCUUUACCUGUGGAGCUGAAAUAUACAUAUCUUGAAGAAAAUAAUCAAUGUCCUGUUGUGAUAUCUUCAUCUCUGACCAGUCAUCAAGAGAAUUGUUUAAUGGAAGUUCUCAAGAGGUGUAAGAAAGCAAUAGGAUGGCAAAUAUCUGACUUGAAAGGCAUUAGUCCUUUAGUUUGUACUCAUCAUAUAUAUAUGGAGGAGGAAGCAAAGCCAAUUCGUCAAUUUCAAAGAAGGUUGAAUCCUCAUCUACAAGAGGUGGUGCGAGCUGAGGUGCUGAAGCUACUUCAAGCAGGAAUCAUUUACCCUAUUUCUGAUAGCCCUUGGGUGAGUCCUACUCAAGUGGUACCAAAGAAGUCAGGGAUCACAGUGGUUCAGAAUGAAAAAGGAGAAGAAAUUACUACACGCCUCACUUCAGGUUGGAGGGUGUGUAUUGAUUAUAGGAAGCUGAAUGCUGUCACCAGGAAGGAUCAUUUUCCAUUGCCAUUUAUUGAUCAAGUGCUGGAGAGAGUCUCUGGACAUCCAUUCUAUUGUUUCUUGGAUGGGUAUUCAGGGUAUUUUCAGAUUGAAAUUGAUUUGGCAGAUCAGGAAAAGACCACCUUUACAUGUCCAUUUGGAACAUAUGCUUACAGAAGAAUGCCUUUUGGUUUAUGCAAUGCACCUGCUACAUUUCAAAGAUGCAUGUUGAGUAUUUUCAGUGAUAUGGUGGAGCGAAUUAUGGAGGUUUUCAUGGAUGACAUCACCGUAUAUGGAGGUACAUUUGAGGAAUGCUUGGUUAAUUUGGAAGCAGUUCUUCAUAGAUGCAUUGAAAAAGAUCUGGUGCUCAACUGGGAAAAAUGCCAUUUUAUGGUACGUCAAGGAAUUGUCCUUGGUCAUAUCAUCUCUGAAAGAGGCAUUGAAGUUGAUAAAGCAAAGGUGGAGCUUAUUGCCAAAUUACCAUCUCCAACAAUUGUGAAAGGAGUAAGACAGUUCCUUGGCCAUGCAGGCUUCUAUAGGAGGUUUAUAAAAGGUUUUUCAAGUCUUUCAAAACCUCUUUGUGAGCUGUUAGCUAAGGAUGCUAAGUUUAUAUGGGAUGAAAGGUGUCAGCAUAGCUUUGAUCAACUGAAGAAGUUUUUAACAACAACUCCAAUAGUGAGAGCCCCUAACUGGCAAUUACCUUUUGAAUUGAUGUGUGAUGCCAGUGACUUUGCUAUAGGAGCUGUGCUUGGCCAAAGAGAAGAUGGGAAGCCUUAUGUGAUUUACUAUGCAAGUAAAACACUAAACGAAGCUCAGAGGAACUACACAACUACAGAGAAAGAAUUGUUAGCUGUGGUAUUUGCUUUGGACAAAUUUCGAGCUUAUUUAGUGGGGUCUUUCAUCAUAGUGUUCACUGACCAUUCAGCCUUGAAGUAUUUAUUGACAAAGCAAGAUGCAAAAACAAGGUUGAUUAGAUGGAUUCUUUUGUUACAAGAAUUCGAUCUUCAAAUCAAAGAUAAGAAAGGAGUGGAGAAUGUAGUAGCUGACCACUUGUCAAGGUUAGUUAUAGCACAUAAUUCCCAUCCCUUGCCUAUCAAUGAUGAUUUUCCUGAAGAAUCACUCAUGUUCCUAGUGAAAACUCCUUGGUAUGCUCAUAUUGCUAAUUAUUUAGUAACUGGAGAAAUUCCAAGUGAGUGGAAUGCACAGGACAGGAAGCACUUCUUUGCCAAAAUUCAUUCUUAUUAUUGGGAAAAGCCCUUUCUCUUUAAGUAUUGUGCAGAUCAGAUUAUUAGGAAGUGUGUCCCUGAAGAUGAGCAGCAAGGGAUUCUAUCUCAUUGUCAUGAGAAUGCAUGUGGAGGCCACUUUGCCUCUCAGAAAACAGCCAUGAAGGUAUUGCAAUCAGGGUUUACUUGGCCAUCUCUUUUUAAAGAUGCCCACAUCAUGUGUAGGAAUUGUGAUAGAUGCCAAAGGCUUGGAAAGCUAACAAAAAGAAAUCAAAUGCCUAUGAACCCCAUUCUGAUAGUUGAAUUAUUUGAUGUAUGGGGCAUUGACUUCAUGGGACCUUUCCCAAUGUUUUUUGGUAAUUCUUACAUCUUGGUGGGGGUGGAUUAUGUUUCUAAAUGGGUUGAGGCAAUCCCCUGUAAGCAAAAUGAUCACAGGGUGGUUCUCAAGUUUCUUAAAGAGAACAUUUUCUCUAGAUUUGGGGUGCCCAAAGCCAUAAUCAGUGAUGGAGGUGCUCAUUUUUGCACCAAACCUUUUGAAGCUCUCUUAUCCAAGUAUGGAGUGAAGCAUAAGGUAGCCACACCUUAUCAUCCUCAGACUUCCGGGCAAGUUGAGCUAGCUAACAGGGAAAUAAAGAACAUCUUGAUGAAAGUGGUGAAUUCCAACAGAAAAGAUUGGUCUAUUAGGCUUCAUGAUUCAUUGUGGGCAUAUAGAACAGCUUAUAAGACUAUUCUUGGGAUGUCUCCCUAUCGUCUUGUCUAUGGCAAAGCAUGCCAUCUCCCUGUGGAAGUUGAAUACAAGGCUUGGUGGGCAAUAAAGAAGCUGAACAUGGAUUUGAUCAAGGCAGGAGAAAAGAGAUUUCUAGACCUUAAUGAGAUGGAGGAAUUAAGAAAUAAUGCUUAUAUCAACUCCAAAGUUGCAAAACAAAGGAUGAAGAAGUGGCAUGAUCAACUCAUCUCCAACAAGGAAUUUCAGGAAGGGCAAAGAGUUUUGAUGUAUGACACCAGACUCCAUAUCUUUCCUGGGAAGCUCAAGUCAAGGUGGAUUGGUCCAUUUGUUAUUCACCGAGUGUGGUCCAAUGGAGUGGUGGAAUUAUUGAAUUCCAAUGGCAAGGACAACUUUAGAGUCAAUGGAUAUCGUCUCAAGCCAUUCAUGGAGCCAUUCAAAUUAGAAAAGGAGGCAAUCAACCUCCUUGAACCUCAAAAAGCCUAAGUGAAAUGGGUUUGCUGGACGUGGUUUACCACAUUCCAAAAUUUUUGUAAAUUUUGUAAAUUUUCAAGUUAUUUCCAUACUUUUGAUCUUAGUUUUUGAUCUUAAAUCAUGUUUUUAGGUGUGUUUUAAUCGUUUUGAAUGAUCCCAGGUGGAAGAAAUUUCAAGGAGAUUGAAAGAAAAAAAAAAUCGGGUCGAAAUCAGAGCUAAAACAGAGCAAAAACAGGGGAAAAACAGAGCUCUGCGAAAUUUCGCAGAGUGAAGGAAACUUCUGCGAAAUUGGCAUUUUGUUGCCAAACCAUUCCGCAACACUGUAGAAGUCUCUGCGAGGGUAUUUCGCAGCUGCGAAAGUGAAUUUGGCACACGAGUGCCACUUCGCAGUACAGUAGCAUCCAUUUGGCAGCUGCGAAACCCAUUGCGAAGUGGAAAAGCAUGAUUUCGCACCAAAAGUCCCAUUCCGCAGGGCAUUUCGCAAUUGCGAAAGUGGUUUUGGCACACGAGUGCCACUUCGCAGCACAGUGACAUCAAUUUCGCAGCUGCGAAACUCACUGCGAAGUUGCUGCGAAAAUGGCAAGUUGCUGCGAAAUUGGCGUUUUGUUGCGAAACUUAAACUGACCCUUAGACUUCCGUUUUUCCUAUUUAUACCGGUCAUUUGUGCUGCGAAAAGGGUUUCAAAAAUCAGAGUACCAUUCUCGCAGCCUCUUCGUCUCCUUCACCAAGCCACGCCGUCUGUGCCUCCGGCCAUCUUCUCCGUUCAGCAACGCCGGCCAACGAUCGAUAUCCCAAAAUGGCGCGAACACGAGGGGCAAAGUCUUCAUCCCCUUCGAAUCGCAAAAAGAUGCUGCGAAAGGAGCCACCUUCAGAUUCUGCUCCAAAGCCUUCGCCGUCGAGACCAAUUCCACCUCCAGUGAAGCCGGCGCCACCAAAGCCGCCGGCAAAACGAUAUUUAACCAGGUCCGGAGGUCGGCCAUUGAAGAAGAAACCCAGGGUAGAGAGCUCAGAACCCAUUGAUUUGACUGAGCAAUCCCCUGAGCAAUCCCCAAAUCCAUCACCGGUUCAAUCUCCGGUAUCUUCACCAAAUCCUUCACCGGUUCAAACUCCAGUGCCGUCGCCGGUUCCCUCGCCGAGUCCCCUGCCAGUUCCAUCGCCGGUACCAUCUCCGGCACCCCAAGAAAAAGCUCAGGAGCCUCAAGCGCCAAUUCCAGAGCCUCAAAUUGCAGCUGAAGCACCUCUGGAAGAAGUAAUCCGAAGGCCAAUGCUGCCCCAGCCCCCAAUCGAAGGAAACUUGGAUUGUCGAACUCGGGCAUUCCAUUCUGAGCUUUGCUUCGACUUAGCAGCAUUCAGAGUGAGGCCAGAGCUAGCCCAAUCAUUCCAGCUGCUGAGGAGGUACCAUAUGGAGCAUCUGCUAGCUCCAAGGGACUUUUUCUAUCCUCGGAUAGCCACGGAUUUCUACCAGUCCAUGACAACCAAAGAGGUAAGAAAUCCAACUCUGAUCCAUUUCACAAUUGAUGGGAGACAUGGUAUUUUGGGAGCAAGACAUAUUGCUGAAGCCCUGCAAAUUCCUUUUGAGCCAACCCAAUUCGACAAUUUUAAAGCUUGGGCAAAUCCUACUGAGCUAGAGAUGGUUCGCACCCUUUCCAGAGGAGCUGCAAAUCGAUCACAUCUGCUGAGGGGGGAGCUACCUCCAGUUAUGUUUUUGAUUGAUGCCUUUUUGAGGCAUAAUAUCUAUCCCCUGCAGCAUUGGACCCAAAGAAGGGGAGUUCUCCUGGAAGCCCUGUACAAGAUGUCAGAAGGAUUCUUCUUUGGGCCUCAUCAUCUGAUCAUGGCAGUCCUUCUCUACUUUGAGGAGAAGGUUCACAAGAAGAAGCUUCAAAGAGCAGAUUGCAUUCCCCUCCUCUUCCCACGGCUGCUAUGCCAAAUUUUGGAACAUCUCGGAUACCCCUCUGAGCCUCAGCAGGAGAAAAAGAGAAUUUGCCGUGAGCCAUUCACUCUUGAUAAAUGGAAUAAUAUGACGGCCUACAAAAUUGAUCAGCCUGGGCAGCCUCAGCCAGCAGCAAGGAGAGCCUCCCCAAGACAUAUACCUGAAGGUAUAACACUUGCUACUCCUGCCAUUCCUAGAGCUCCACCAGCUACACCUGCUCCAUCACAGCCAUCCACAUCAGCUGAGCCGAGGAUGGCCAUCCCUAUAUCUGAAUAUCGAGAGCUGUGUCGUGCAUUGGAGACUCUUACAGCUUCCCAGAGCAAUCUUGCUCAGGAAUUGGCAGCCAUCAAAGCAUGCCAGGAGCAGAUGUUAGCCUCGCAGGCUCAACAAGCUGCCAUCCUAAGGCAGCUUCAAGUCCAUUUCGAUCUGCCACAAGCUGUAGAGCCCUCCAUUCCUACUCCACCAGAGCCACACUCUCAGCCUUCAGAGUCUCAUCCUCCAGAGCCAGAAGCCCCAGCUGAUCCACCUACUGAGGAGGCAGAUCCUUCUGCCUAGCACCAUCACCCCACUCAUCAGACAUUAUAUAUAUUUGCUAUUUAUGUUUUUAUGCAUGUUUGUUUUGUUUUAGUUGAAAUGAAGUCCCAGUAUUUUGGUACUAUAUAUGGGAUUCCUUGUGAUUACUUGUCUUUUGCAUUGUAAUCAAAUGAACUCAAAGUAAUACAAGUUGAAUUUUUCUUGUUAAAAGUUAGCAUUAAGUUCUCCUUAUUCCCUUUUCUCACAUAUUCUAUUCUUUUUGAAACAUGUGGUUUUCCCCAAUCAAUAUUCGAAUUUGAUAUCAGCAAGGAGGUACCACUUCCUCCCUUUUAUUACAGUCACUCAUAUCACAUUGAGGACAAUGCUCAGUUCGGUUGGGGGGUAUGAGGAAGGAAGUAUGCUAAAUCUUUUUGGUAUUGCAAUUAUAUUGGUUAAUUAGUUGUAGAUUUUACUUUUUACUCUUGUUACUCUAUUCUCCAUGAAUUUUGAAGAAAAUUUUCAAAAUUAAAUCAAGAGAAAUUGAACUGUUUUUUUUCACUUGACUUAGAGUAUGGAUUAUGCUUACUAAAGUGGUUCAAUUGUUGAAACUUCUACUGUAAUUGAAUUGAAUUCUUCCACUUUAAGCUAUCCACACACUGUGCACAUUAGUUUCCGAUUAUAACAUGAAAAGCUAUUUCCCUCUUGACUUAGGAUAAUUUUGGGACUUGGUAUAUUUGACCUCAUUUGAUAAAAAUUGAAACACCCUGCAAAAGGCCAAUGAGCCUUUGAAAUAAAGAAAGUUGUUUGCUUGCCUUGAAACCCGAGCAAGGUCUGAGGGGUAUAUGGUGAAAGCCUUUAAAGCCUGGUGCCCUAAACCUUAAUUGGUUGGGAGUCACCGACCUCAAUGCUCGUUACAAGGGUGAAUAGGUAGAGUUAGCAUAUGGUAGAUGCUUGGGUAUUAGAAAUUCAUUCUUAAAAGUCCGGGGAGAAAUCCGAGGAGUUAGUGGUUGAAAGAUCCUUAAAACUUGGUGCCCUAAACCUUAAUUGGUUGGGAGUCAUCGAUGGACCCCCAUUACAUGGACAAGUCAGAAAGAGUACCCCAUAAAGCUACCUUGAAAAAAAAAAAAAAAAAAAAAAAAAAAAAAAAAGAAAGAUGAAAGUGUGUUCUUUUCUUAUUGAUUUUGGUCAGUUUGCUAAAGUGUUGAAAAGAGAUAGGUUGGGGGGUGAGACUAGUUUAGCAUAUUAUUCUCGGAAUCUAUGGAACCAAUACACAUAGAUUUUUGUGGAAGAUUGAAGUUUAGUUCUUAGAAAGUGAAAUGAUUUUAAAACUUCAGUUUACAUAAUGCACUCCCUUGAUUGACAGUGUUUAGCAUAGUUGUUAUGACUCUUGUUGAGAUUUGGGUUUGUAUUUCUUCAAUGCUUCAUGUGAGAAUUAGAUCAUCAUGCCACUUGAGAAUUAUUUCCUUUCAGCAUGAUGUUGUAAAUUUUAGAUUAGUUUGUUAUUUAUUUUUAUUUUUCUCUCCUAUAUUGCUAAGGGACUAGCAAUAUGUCGGUUGGGGGGAGUGAUUACUACUCAAAAAGUGCUAUUUGAUAGCCUUUAAUUAAUCCUUUUUAACACUUUUGAGUAGUAGUUUAGGCCUUUUAACUCAAUUGGCAUGUUAAGGAUCCUUUAAAGCAAUUUUGAUCACUUUGUGUAAGUUUUGGUGCUUUUGAUAGUAUAUUGAUCACCAAAGCAAGUCAAGACUGAGGAGAGCUAUGAGGAAUCUUGGGCAAAGUUUAGAAUUCAUUUGCCAAGAGUGAAUCCGGAUUGCAAGGAGAAAAAGCAAAGAGGAUCGGUCAUGGAGCAUAUUAUUGAUGACAGUCGUAGCAGCCACUUUUGGAGCACUUUCUGAAGUCCAAAUGAUGCAUGCUAUAUACCUUUUCAAAGCUCAGGAAGUCAACAAUCCAAUGCUUCAAACGGUGCGCGAUUCGGAGUUGAAACGAAGAAGUUGCAGCCAUUACAAGUCAAUCACUCUAAAGUGUUGCGGAAUCAACCUUUUGUUGCGAGAAUUUCACAGCACUUUUGUACAGUAAGGUGUUUCUCCUUCUGACGAUUCACGAACCAUGCCGCGAGAAGGGAGCUGGGAACCUCAAGGUGGAAGCCAAAUUCGCAGCCUGGUGAAGAUAGCUCGGUGUUGCGAAAUAAUUUCGCAGCCCUCUUGGGUGUCUGCGAAAUUUCGCAGACACCAUUUUUCUCCUGCGAAAUGGUUCCUGAAGCCUCCCGACGCUUGCUACCGACAUUGGGAGAUAUUUUCCAUUAGAUUUUUGUUGUCUAAAUCCCAAAAUACUCCUUGUAAACCACCAAAUUACAUGAUUCCUUAGUUUUUAAGUUAGUAAAAGAGACCAAAUAUCUUUGUAACAAAUAAUUUUAUAUUGGGUUUGAUAUAUAAAACCUCUGGAAAGCCUGUUUCUCGGGGGAUGAAUUUCUUUCUGUUUGAAGUUUAGGAAACCAGGUAAAGGUCUUUUCAUGUACCUUCUUACUUUGUAUUUUCAUUUUAUUUCUAAGUUAUGAAUUCUCUGAGGAGUUUUCCCCAGAGAAUGAGUAACUAAACCUCCAAUUCCUUGGAGCUAAGGUUGCCGGGGAAGGUUCCAAGUGCAAGAAUGCAAAGCUCUGUGGUUUUAGCUAGUAAUGAAGAGGAAGUGAAAUCCUUUAGUGAUUUCAAUGUUUUUAGUUAACUUAAAACACCUUGGAGUCACCUGGGCCAACACUUGGUAAGGCAAGUGAUUUCCAACCAUGGAAAUGCACUAGUUUACCCCUUGCGAGCCUCUGGUAGGUGUCUUCAAGGUAGGAUUUUCUGGAAUUACCAACACUUGGUAAGCUUUUGGACUCCUAGGAGACAUCCAUUAGUUAUCUCUUGCGAGUUUGUGAAGGGAAGUCCAAGGUUAAAGAUCACCUUGAAUGGUAAGUGCUCGUGAGAGGCAUGAACCAUUGCAAGUUGUAUCAGUGAGAGAAUUAAAGUGAAAUCUAAUUGAAGGAGUCUCUGUACAUCACCGGUUAGAGAAUUGACUAUAAGNNNNNNNNNNNNNNNNNNNNNNNNNNNNNNNNNNNNNNNNNNNNNNNNNNNNNNNNNNNNNNNNNNNNNNNNNNNNNNNNNNNNNNNNNNNNNNNNNNNNNNNNNNNNNNNNNNNNNNNNNNNNNNNNNNNNNNNNNNNNNNNNNNNNNNNNNNNNNNNNNNNNNNNNNNNNNNNNNNNNNNNNNNNNNNNNNNNNNNNNNNNNNNNNNNNNNNNNNNNNNNNNNNNNNNNNNNNNNNNNNNNNNNNNNNNNNNNNNNNNNNNNNNNNNNNNNNNNNNNNNNNNNNNNNNNNNNNNNNNNNNNNNNNNNNNNNNNNNNNNNNNNNNNNNNNNNNNNNNNNNNNNNNNNNNNNNNNNNNNNNNNNNNNNNNNNNNNNNNNNNNNNNNNNNNNNNNNNNNNNNNNNNNNNNNNNNNNNNNNNNNNNNNNNNNNNNNNNNNNNNNNNNNNNNNNNNNNNNNNNNNNNNNNNNNNNNNNNNNNNNNNNNNNNNNNNNNNNNNNNNNNNNNNNNNNNNNNNNNNNNNNNNNNNNNNNNNNNNNNNNNNNNNNNNNNNNNNNNNNNNNNNNNNNNNNNNNNNNNNNNNNNNNNNNNNNNNNNNNNNNNNNNNNNNNNNNNNNNNNNNNNNNNNNNNNNNNNNNNNNNNNNNNNNNNNNNNNNNNNNNNNNNNNNNNNNNNNNNNNNNNNNNNNNNNNNNNNNNNNNNNNNNNNNNNNNNNNNNNNNNNNNNNNNNNNNNNNNNNNNNNNNNNNNNNNNNNNNNNNNNNNNNNNNNNNNNNNNNNNNNNNNNNNNNNNNNNNNNNNNNNNNNNNNNNNNNNNNNNNNNNNNNNNNNNNNNNNNNNNNNNNNNNNNNNNNNNNNNNNNNNNNNNNNNNNNNNNNNNNNNNNNNNNNNNNNNNNNNNNNNNNNNNNNNNNNNNNNNNNNNNNNNNNNNNNNNNNNNNNNNNNNNNNNNNNNNNNNNNNNNNNNNNNNNNNNNNNNNNNNNNNNNNNNNNNNNNNNNNNNNNNNNNNNNNNNNNNNNNNNNNNNNNNNNNNNNNNNNNNNNNNNNNNNNNNNNNNNNNNNNNNNNNNNNNNNNNNNNNNNNNNNNNNNNNNNNNNNNNNNNNNNNNNNNNNNNNNNNNNNNNNNNNNNNNNNNNNNNNNNNNNNNNNNNNNNNNNNNNNNNNNNNNAUUUUCUGGAAUUACCAACACUUGGUAAGCUUUUGGACUCCUAGGAGACAUCCAUUAGUUAUCUCUUGCGAGUUUGUGAAGGGAAGUCCAAGGUUAAAGAUCACCUUGAAUGGUAAGUGCUCGUGAGAGGCAUGAACCAUUGCAAGUUGUAUCAGUGAGAGAAUUAAAGUGAAAUCUAAUUGAAGGAGUCUCUGUACAUCACCGGUUAGAGAAUUGACUAUAAGUUGAAUCUCUAAUGCGAGGAAAUGAACCAACUGACCGGAGCUAUGUCUUUUGCAUGAGGAACCACCCCAGUGAACCUAAAUCUCCAAGGAAUGUUUUUCUUCCUAAAUUAUUCCAAACUUCUGUUAAGUUAGUUAGUUUAAGUCUCAACCUUUACCAAUCAAAGUUUGUGUUUUAUUUCUUAAGUUAACCGUGAAAUGAAGCAAGACCAAUUCACUUGGAAUUGGUAUCCUUGAUUGCUUGUUCAUUAUUCCCAGUGAACGAUCCUAGAGCCACUAUACUAUAGUAGCUUUUUAUUUGCUACCCUAGUGUAUGGUGUUAUAGGUAUAAAUUUUGUUGAUCACUUCCUCAAUCAAGGAGCACCAGCUGAACACAAAUCAGCUGAGACACCAAUUGGGCAUGAGUCAGAUUCAUAAAAGGUGACAAAACUAAGCAUAUCUCCCCUAAAUUCUUCUACACCCAAGAGCUUCAGGAGAAAGGUGAGAUUGAUGGUUAGGAGAUUCGGUCAUGUAAUAAUCUAGCAGAUCUAUUCACAAAGGCAUUACCUUCGACCACUAUGAAAAGGUUAAGGUAUGAUAUUGAAAUGAAAAGAUUAAGAGAUCUACCAAUUGAAGAAUUGAAGAAAUCAUAAUCAUAUGUACAAAAGGGGUAGAAAGUUAAGAUGUAUAUACUGCACUCUUUUUUCCUUUGUCCACGUUUUGUCCCAUAGGGUUUUACUGGCAAGGUUUUUGAUGAGGCAGUUACCAUAUCCUUAUGAUCAUCCAAGGAGGAGUGUUUUAAAAUAUGAAAUUUUAUACCACUAUGGUAACUUGUGGAUGAUCAUCCAUAAAUAUUUUUUGUAACUCCCUAUAAAAUGGAGGGACCCUUAAUGAAAUUCUAUUGAGUUUUCCUGUGCAUUUUAUCCUCUUUUUCUGUUUUCUUCUUCCUCCACUUUUACAACAUUAUCUUAUACAUUUAUUUUAAUUAUUUUAUAUUUUUUUAUACAUUUUCUUAUAAAUGAGAUUUAUUUUAUAAUUCAUAUAUUUGUUUUUUUUUUAAAAAAUUUAGGACUUUUAUUUAUUACUUCAAAUAAAUUUAUAAAAAUUAUGGUAAUUUUAAUCAUAAUAAUUUAAUGUUUGAAAAUUAAUAUCAAGAAUUCUCAAAAAUUAUUUUUAGUUUUAAUAAUUAAUAAUGAUUAUGGAGAUUUAUGAAUUAUUUUUAUCGUAUUUGAUGAGACAUUUAAAUGAAAAUUCAAGAUUUAUAUAUAUAUAUAUAUGUUUCUUUCAUAAUAAAUUUUAGAUAUUUUUAAAAUUAAUUAAAAUAAUAUAUAAAGAUGUCAUAUGCAAUUUAUCUUUCCAAUUUCUUCUUCUUUCAUAUUGUUGUUUUUGAAAUCACUCUUUUAAUCUAAAAUAAAAAAUAUUAAAAUAUUAAAAUAAAUCAUCCAAAAAAUUAUGACAUUAAUUUGAUUUUUAAUUUAUUCUUACUCUUUUCAAUAAUAAGAAAUUAAAUAAGAAUAAAAAUAACUACUAAUAAAUAUUUUAAAAUAAAUUUAAAAUUUAUUUAUUUACAAAAUAAUAUGAAUUACAGCCAAAUUAAUAUAAUGGAUAUACUACAAUUCUGAAUCCCUCAAAAAAAUCAAUCCUACAAAAUAAUGUUCAUUUGUUUAAUCGAAAUUGAAUGCUUCAUAAGAAUGAUGAAAUAAACAAGAGACACAAUGCUGGAGAAUGUUGAAGAGGGACAUGAAACACAAAUAUGUUAGAGUGAGGCACAACACUGAUGAAUGUUAAAGAAAGACACGAAACACAAAUGAUAAUGGAGCAAGUGUCAAGAUUACUCUUAGGGUUGUAGUAUCUACAAAAAUAAAAUAGCACCAAACAUCAAACUCUUUACUAACUUAUGUCAUUUUGUGAGCAAAUAGUAUCGUAGAAAGACAAAGAGAGACAAAAAAUAAAAAUAAAAACUCAUAAUGGAAUCCAAUAAUAAGAAAGCAAGAGAAAAAAAGAGAAAUUUCACACCCUAUAGGUUGAGAACAUGGGUUCCAUGACCUUCGGGUUGAAAACAUGAGUCUUGUAAAUAAGAGAUAAAAUUAAAAGACAUUAAACAUGAAGUUGAAAGGAAAUUGAAUUCUUAGGGUUGACAUUGAAAAUACAUCAAAUAUAAAGGGGAAUAUGAAUUGAAAAGAUACCCACAUUUAUUUUCUUUUAACAUUUAUUGAUUUAGUGAGAGAAAAGACUGAUUUUUUAAAUCUCAUACUUUCAUGGAGGUGUUUUUUUUUUUUUCCAUAACUAGUUGUAUUUUUUAAUAAAAUUUUAUAAAAGAAAUAGUUAUUUAUUUAAAGAAAUAAAAUAAUAUUCAAAAUCAUAAUUUAAAAAUACAAUUUUAUUAUAAAUUUAUAAAUUAUAGUGUACACCCUCCAUUUUGUCCCUAACACAUAUUUUCUCAUUUUAUUUUCUUUCACACCAUGCUUAUUUUUAGUAUGUGUUUAAGAUCCUUAUUACUUGAUCAUUCAUUGUCCCUUAUUGGUUUACAUUUAUUUGAUUCAUUGUUUAUUUUUUAGACACAUUUUGGAGGCCAUUUAGGGGGUAAUUUCGGGUCCUUCCAACUUGAGUUUUAGAGACCCCCUAAGCUUAGAAUUUUUUUUUUGUUUGUUUAAUCUCAGUCUUAGGAGAGUUUCUAAGGUUUUUUUAAUUUUUAGAGAGGCCUAGUAGCUGGCUUAGGAUGAGGACAUGUGUUCUCAUCUUGACUGCUUCACUUUUAAAACACCCAUUUUUUUUCCUUCUUUUUUUGCCAUAUUUGGGGGAGACCGUCUAGAAACCUCUCAGGAGAGGAGCUUUUCAACAUGUUUUUUUUUUCUUUUUUUCUUUUAUUUUAGGUGAGUUGUCAAGAUGAAGGAGGAGAGUGAGUUGUUAGUGGUGCUUUUCUGUAGGGGGGAAUAUUCUCUGCAUAAGGGUGGUUAUAAGAGAGAGAAAAAGACACUUUUUUUUUUUUGUGAGCUUCAAGAGACGUUUUGAGCAUCAGAGGAUAUUGGGAUUAUCAUGAGGAUUUAGGGAGGUGGGAGUGAGAGUUUGAGGAGAAAGAAAACAAGAGGAUGGUUUUACCAUUAACUAAAAUGCUAGGGUGAUGGUCCUUGUGUUAGACAAGAUAUUUUAGAAGAACAAAAUUAGUUUUAGGUUAGUUUUAGAGUUAGCUGAAAAAUAGAAUUAAUUAGUCUUCAAAAAUUGCUUUGUAAACUCUCUUACAUCUCCUUUGUUCUACUCUGUUUUUGCUUUCACCACGUUUUAUCUCUCAUCCAAACUCCUUAACAUGGUAUCAAAGCCAUAAUAUCCAACUCAGUCACCCAUUAACAACUGAUGAAUCCUUCUUCACCAUUCUCCAACUUUUUAAACUAUACUUUGUCAAUAAAACUAGAUCAAGAAAAGUACUUGAUCUAGAAAUCUCAAAUUACACCAACAAUUCAAGUACAUGAUAUGCUUGGUUCAUUGAUGGAAUGAGUAAAUGUCCUCUAGAAUUCAUUAACGAAGAUCCAAGAGCCUCUGAUUCUUGCAUAGUCACUAACCAAGAUUAUGUGUUAUGUCAUUGACAAGAUCAAAUUUUGUUAAGUUGGUUAUUAUCAUCUAUUUCUGAAGAGGUGGUGGCCCAGGGGAUUAGUUGUUCCAUGUCUUUUGAAUUAUGGUUUAUGCUGGAAAAAUUUUUUGCUUCUUAGUUGAAGGCAAAAGUAUUACAAUUGUGUAUCCAACUCCAAUCAAUCAAGAAAAAUUCAUUGACAAUGGUUGAAUAGUUUGCAAAGAUAAAAAGAGUUACUAAGAAUCUUGCAGUUGUUGGGCAACCAGUCUCCAAUGAUGAUAUGAUAAUGUACCUUCUUCCUGGGCUUGGAUCUAACUAUGAUCCAAUUUUAGUAAGUGUUACCUCCAAACUUGAUUCAUUUUCUCUUCAAAGAAUAUAGGCUAUACUACUCAAUCAAAAAGCACGCUUAGAACAACUACAUUUAGAAAACUCACUUGAGUUUCAACAAACUGUUGUCAACAUUGCUUCACAUACUUCUUUCAAAGGUAAUGAUCCAAAAGUUACAGUAGGUGGUCAUACCACCAUUCCUCAAAAUAUGAGAGGGUUUCAAAGCUAGUCAAAUCAAGGAGAUCGAGGCAAUAGAUACAACUUCUCACAACUAAUUUGUCAAGUUUGUGGCAAACUAAGUUGUAUCGCCCUCACAUGCUACUAUUGAUUUGAUCACAAUUAUCAAUCUCAAAACUCUCAGAUUGUUAUCUUAAUUACUUCACUAGAAAUACUGGUUGAUCUUGCCUGGUACAUUGAUAAUGAGGCAAAAAAUCAUGUAACAGAUGAGCUAGGAUGUGUGCAGGCUUCUACUAAAUAUCUUGGAAAUAAGAAGUUGACUAUAGACAAUGGCCAAGGUUUGCCCAUUUAACAUAUUGGUCAUUUCUUUUUAUCUACUUCAGAUAAAACUAUUCUUCUUAAAAAUAUAUUUCAUGUUCCAAGCAUUAUUAAAAAUCUUUUAAGCAUCUCAAAAAUUGUUUGUAAUAAUGAUGUUGUUGGGAUUGAGCCCCUAAAAACAAAAAUAAUGUUAGAAACCUACACCUAACUAUCCCCUUGCUAUCAUUUUGGUGUAUUGACAUUAAUUUGAGCAUUCAACCCAUGUCUCUUACAUUGUACAUGACUUGGGUGCACUAGGAGUUGCAUAGAAGAUACAAGUCAUGGGUUCCUUAUAAGUAGAUAAGUUGUCCACAGUUAGUUCAUGGAUUUGGGCAAUCCAGUAGAAACUGUAGUGCACCACCUCCUGAUUGGAGGGAUGACUUUCCCAUGGUGAGUGCAUAGGACCUAAGAUGAAUCAUGAUGCAAGGUUAUCAAUUGUCAUGAUUCACAUAACUAUUAUAAUGAAUGAACUUUCAACUUUGAGAGGAUAUUGAGUCUAUGUCAAAAUCAACAGGAGGCUUUGACCUAUGGGUGAGACCCUAAAAUGGUCAUAUAUCUCUAUGGAUUGGGUCACUAUUAAUGGAGGCUGGUGGCAACAAGUAUUCUUAAUAUAGGCACCAUCACAUCUCUUGGGAUUGAGACCGUGUAUCCCCUUGGGUGAUCCAAAGGACAUGUGAUCAUGAAAUUUGUGGUCAUAGUAAUUCCUUUAACAGAAUUUGACAUAUGGUCCUUAGAGUUAGAGUUUGUUAGUUGAUUACUUAAUAAGUGAGAUUCGUAACUCAAGGAUUUGAGAGGUAAUCUUGAUAGGUGAUAUCACUACCUUGUUAGAUUAUGAACACCAGUUCAUGGGGAGUCUGGAUGUAUUAGAUAGUAAGUGACAAACCUGAGCACUUAGUGUCUUAUUGUUAUUUACCUAAGAUACUAGAGUUUAGUUAAUUCUUUAUAGUGGGAUGUUGAAUCAACUUCAGAAUUGGAUUCCGAGGGAUCCAAUACUCUUAUGGGUCCCAUUGGUCCUUGCUCUAAGCUCAUAUAUCUUGUUGUCAUAGAUUAUGAGGGUCGGAUUGACUUUACGUACACUUUUGUGCACAAGGGCGUUUUGAUAAUUAUAUAAGGUUGCACAGAGGUAAGUGAACAAGAUCUUGAGAUUGGGCUAAUUGAUUAAUUAGUAGGCCCGAUUGGGUUAAUUAAUCAAUUAUGACCCAUUUUAGGCUAGAUUAAGUGACCUAAGCCUAUAUAAGCUCAAGUCACUUAAGCCCAAUUAGGAUCCCUAUAAUUACCUCUUAGGGAUUAGGGUUUUUAUAACUUUGGUCCUCCACUAUCUAAAGAGAAAGAGAGUCAUAGCCUCCACCCUCCUUUCCUCCUCCACCGGAAGUGUGCCAAGAACAAGGUUGAGUCAUCAAACAGAAGAUCAUGGGUUUACGAGACUUCCAACAACUUUAAGGUUGUCUUCAAUACUUUAAAUUUAAGGCUUGGGAACAUCCAAACCUAAAGGUUAGUACUUUAAACCUAAAAGAUCAUUUUUUUAAAAGAUUGGUAUUGCUUUGAUUCCUUACAUCUAAGAUGCCAAUGGAUGUGUUUUUUGAAUUUCAUGCCAUUCGGUGCUUAGUCAAUGACAAAAUCAUGAGGAAAAUUCUACUUCAAGGGAGAAUCAAGAAUGGACUAUAUCAACUUCAAGGACCUAACUUUAUUACUGCAAAAGAAGUUGAAAAAAAAAUUCAUAUGGAAUAAAUAGUACUACUCAAAUAAGGAGGAAAACAAACUCCCCUCUAGAUCAAUUGAAUUCAUCUUUCAACAAUCUAUUACAUAAUGACCCAAAUUGGUUUUCAAAUGUCAAUGUUCCUUAUAUAACUAUAUUGCAUUGAAUGUUCAAUAUGAAGACUUAAGUACUUGGCAUAAUAGAUUUGGGCAUCCUUCUCAUUGUGUUCUUCAUCAAAUACUCAAGAGAUGUAAUAAAUCACAUAUUAGUGAGAAAGCCGCUAGUAAAUUUUGCUUUGCUUGCCAAUAUAGAAAAUGUCAUGACUUGAAUUUUCAUUCAUCACCUACAAAGACUAGUGAACCUUUAGAACUUAUUCACUCAAAUGUUUAGGGACCAUCACCUCUUCUCUUUACCGAAGGAUAUAAAUAUUAUGUUAGUUUCAUUGAUGAUUUCACGUAAUAUACGUGGAUUUUCCUCCUUAAAAACAAAUCUGCAAUACCUACUACAUUUCUACAGUCCAAGAAGUUUGUUAAGAAUCUACUUGAAGAAAAUAUCAAAGCUUGUAAAUAGAUAUGGGUGGUGAAUACAAACCAUUGACACAUUUCUCAAUGACAAUGAUAUAAUGUUGCAACAAUUGUGUCCUUCUAUGCAUCAACAAAAUGGUUGUGCGGAAUGAACACACAGGAAUAUUAUUGAACUCGACUUAACAUUGUUGUCCCAAGCCUUCAUGCCACUUAGUUUUUGGUGGGAUGCUUUCAACAUUGUAGUUUACUUAAUCAAUAGGUUACCUACAUUGAUAUUGAAUAAUCAAUCUCCCAUGAGAAAAUUAUUCCAUCAAGAACCUAGCUACUUUUUUCUCUACUACUUUAGAUGUGCCUGUUUUCCACACAUCAGACCAUAUAAUAAAAACAAGUUUGAUUUUCAUAUACUCAAAUGCUUGUUUGUGGGUUAUAGUAAUCUACACAAAGGAUACAAGUGCUAAGUCCCUCCAAGAAAAUUUAUAUAGCACACAAUGUGGUAUUUGAUGAACAAACAUUUCAUUUUUUCAUGGGAUUUUCAAUUAUCCCGACUUUUGGAUCUUAUAAAAAAUCUAUGAGUACAACCCAAACUCCAAAUCUUACUGUGAUAUUACCUCAACUCAACAAACCAAGACCGUCUAUUGUUAAAAAAAGCAGCCUAAAUAUUGAAAAAAAUUCUUCAACUACUACUUGCAAAAAUCAGUUUACAUCUUGCACUACCAAUGGAAACUCAAGUGAACCAACUCAGACUCUUACAAUUGAUGCUUCAAAAAAUUAGUCUACAUUUCAUCCAAUUCCUCAUUGUGACUUGUAUACAGAUUUGUCUAUUCCUACCUUGAAUACACAUCCAGUGACUACAAGGUCAAAGGUAGGAAUAUUCAAACCAAAGUUAUUCACAGUUGAAAGCACAACAAAACAACUUGAAAGUGAACCCAAUAGUGUUACAAAAGCAUUGCAAUCUAACAAGUGGAAAAAAGUUAUGGAACCAAAGAUUCAGGCAUUAAAUCAAAAUCAAACAUGCUACCUAAUAUCUUGUCUUCCACACUAUAAUGUCUUUGGCUACAAAUGGGUGUAUAAAUUAAAAUAUAACCCAAAUAGAUCAAUUCAACAUCUCAAGGCAUGACUUGUGCCAAAGGGAUUUCAUCAAACACUAGGAGUUGAUUUUUCAAAAACAUUCAGCCUUGUCAUAAAGCCAAUUACUGUAUGCAUCAUCUUAGCUAUAGUAGUUACAAUGGAUUGGAAGAUUCAACUUUAUGUUAAUAAUGUGUUUUUAAACAGAAGCUGCAAGAAAUUGUUUUCAUGUCUCAACUUGAAGGAUUUAUAAUUCCUAAGAAGCCCGAAUAUGUAUGCAAACUACAUAAAGCAUUGUACGAACUUAAACAAGCACCACAUGCUUGGUUUGAAAAAUUACGACGUGCUCUCUUCAAUUGGGGUUUUAAAGAGUUAGAGGUUGACACAUCAUUGUUUAUAUAUCGUGAAGUUUGCAACUCUAUUUUUUUUUUACUUGUGUAUGUGGAUGAUAUUCUCAUUAUUGGGAAUAACUCCCAACUUAGUCGUAAGACUUAUUCAUGACCUCAACUUCUAAUUUUCACUCGAGGACUUAGGGGAUUUUACAUGGGAUUCUAUAGGACCUUAUCUAACUCAAUCCAAAUAUAUCCUUGACUUGUUAAAAUGAACUAACAUGAAAUAAGUUAAAAGUUGCCCUACACCAACAAGUAUGGGACUACAACUAUCCAAUUCGAAAGAACAUAAAUUGAAUAAUGAGAAGUUGUAUCGCAACACUAUUGAAGCAUCACAAUAUCUCACUAUCACUAAGUGAUAAAUAUCUUACAUUGUAAACAAUUUGAGUAAGAUUUUACAUUGUCCUAUUGGUAUGCAUUGGAAAGCUUGUAAACAGGUUUAGAGAUACUUGCGUGGGAGUAUUGAUCAUGAUUUGCAUAUUCAAACUAUUGAGAUUGAGUACCUAAAAGCAAGACAUGAUGUAAAAAAGUUAAGCUUGACUAUCCCCUUGCUAUCCUUAUGGUGUAUUGACAUUGAUUUGAACAUUUAGUCUAUAACUCUUACAUUGUACAUGACUUGGGUGCAGAAGGAGUUGCAUAAAAGAUACAAGUCAUGGGUUCCUUAUAAGUAAAUAAUUUGUUUAUAAUUGGUUCAUGGAUUUGGGUAAUCCAGUAGAGACUCUAGUGCACCACAUCCUAAGUAGCUGGUGGCUUUGAAAAGCCACUACUUUUAAGUUAUUAUGAUGGUGCUUGUAGACUUGCAGAUUUAGGCCUUGUGUUAUUGGAGGAUGCCCAUUGCAAGAAAGGCAAGUCACAUUGUUUUGGGACUUUAGUGGCCCAAUGAAGAUGGUUAAAGACUCCAACCCCUUGAUCCAUGACUUUUAUGGAUUGGGCUAGACUCAUUUCACUAAUCCAAGGGGUUUAAAUUGUAGAUUAAGGGAUGUGGGUGAGCCUUAACUGGUAGUGAGGGCUUUCAUAGCCUUGUACCCUUGGAGAGAGAUCAAUCUGAAGGUUGUGAGAAGGGAUUUUGGUUAAACAUUCUGGCAUCCCAAGAGAGGAGAGUCUGUCACAACAUUGCAUAGGUAGGAACCUCUAGAUGCUAUGGAUCAAGAGCUAGCUGUCUUUAGUUGAUCUUGAUGGCCUGAGGAUGGUUUGUGACGAAUUAGCUCUCUCUUUGCUUGUUCGCUCCUCUUAGAGCCUAGAGGAGGGAGCACCAUUUGUAGAUGCCACCCUCUUGUUUGGAGUAGAAGGUUUUGCAGGUAAGUUAUCAUCUCCAGUUUGUUGGAUGGGGGAUGGGUCUUCUUCUGCAUCUUCUAUUUCCAAAGAUGAGGGUCCAACCAAACGCUUGGUUUUGUGGAGGGAGCAGGACAAGGGGCGGCUUGUAGUAGAAUGCAAGGGUGAUGGUUAUGGGAUGUUAUGUAUGACUUCCAGCAAGGGUUUGGUUGUGGACUUUCCAAAGAAUCACCUUAGAGAUGCUUAGAGUGUGAACCUAGAUGUGGGGAGUGAGGAGGUGGUGGCUUUGGAGAAUGGGGGCUCUAGGAGGGACUCGAUGGGAGAUGAGAGCCUCUACGAUUUGUCUUUUGGGAAAUUCGUCUCCUUUAGCAAGUUUUUGGAUUUGCUAGUGGAAGGUUAUGAGAAGGAAAUUGUGUCCUUAUUGAGAAAGUCGGAAGCUAAAAAGGGUUAUAGAGUAGUGGCUUUGAGUAUAAAAAGGAGGCCUUCCUCUAUGUUCGACUUUGAUAGGGAGCUUUGCAAAUUGGAGUGCUUGGUCAAUUACAACAAAUCAAGUGGAAAAAGGGGGAGCCAGAAGUGGGGGUGGGAUAUGGUUUGUGAGUGAUCAUGAAGUUCGAGAUUUUUCUUAAUUCCUAAUUCAAUAUAUUACAUUGUUGUUUCUCAAAAAAAGUACAAAAGAAAAAAAGAAAAAAAAAAGAAAAUAAAAAUAAAGAAGUUUUGAGAUUUUUUUAUCGUCAUUAGUAGGUUUAGAGGCUGGGUGUUUGGCUCUCCUUAGAAAUUGGAAGGACUUGAGAAAAGGAGAGGGGCCAGAAUUGUAUCACUCAAUCUCAAGGUAAGGGAUUUAGAAAAGUGGGCUGGAAUUGUAAUUUAUAAGGGAGCAGAGGGUAGUCAUUUCAGGCAGUGGCAAGGGAGAGUGGAAUUAUUAACAAUGGGUAGAUGAAGUUUGAAUUUAUCCAAGGAUUCAGUAAGAUUGCAGAAAGUGGAUUUGGUUUGCAAGCAUGAAAGGUCGUAUAGGUCUUUAUGUCUUUCUAGGCCUUUAGGGUGAUGUUUUUGUAUCAGGUUACGGUUUGUUGUUUUUUUUUUCCUUUUGCUUGCCUUCUGGCACUGUUUGUAUUCUCUAUGUAGUUUGUGCAACUUUACAAAGUGUUUUUAAUAUCUUAUCAGUUUACCUAAAAAAGAAAAGAAAAAGAGAGAGAGAGAGAAAGAGAUAUAUGGAUGGGAGGAAAUAAAAUAUAUCAAUCAGGAAGGCCAAAUUAUACUACUAUGCACCUCUUAUGACUGAUUGAUGGGUUUGUGCAAAUUAUAGGAACAAUACCAACAGUAUUGUCCUUUUGACUUGAGCCUCCAAAUUGCUUGGUUAUCUGAAGAUAGUUUUCAUUGAUGAAUACCUCUUGACCUUAUGAUCCAGAUUUUGGCAUAUGAAGUUAAGCAAGUUAUAACUAAAUAGACUUAUACUGUGAAUUUCUUGGAUUUUGAUAAAAGAGUGAAACCUAAAAUUGUUAAUUCAGAUCAGUUUUGAAUGAACAUAAAAUGGUGCCUCUACUGUAAUGCCUGAAAUAUUUGAUAUCCAUUCAAUAGCUUCCCAAUGCUCUUCUUUUCGUAAAGCUAUUGAUGGCUCCCAUUGCUUGAGCUUUUUACCCAAUCUUGUAUGCACCAUGUGAUGAGCCAAGAAGAUCGCAACGUGUUCCUAAGAAAAACCCAAGGUUCAUAACAUGAUAAACAUGCAGAGCAAGUAGGAUGAUCGUGCAAGGAGCUGUUAGAGAUUAAUUGCUGGCAUAGUUCUGUUAGAAGACUUGGUCUGAUGUCUGUUAGCUAUUAUUAUGCUAUUUGAAUAAGUAUUAGCUAUUUAUUUGCUAAUAAUGGUUGAGUCCUUAUUUUCAGUAGUUAUGGUCGUGAGAGUAAGAGAAUGUGGGUUUUUCCUUGUAUAUUUAAACUAUUUCAGUAUGCAGCAAUAAAGGGGAGUUCAUUCAAAAUCCAAAUAUUGUGGCUCGUUCUUGCCCUAAGAAGAAUUUUGUUUACUGAUUAUAUUAGCUUUGAUUGGGACCUAUCAUUGGUAUCAGAGCCAGGUUACACUGAUGGCAACUAACAAGGAAAAAAUAGAACAAUUAGAGGCUGGGCUAGGAGGACUUCAAGACGAAAUGAGUCGAAUGGAACUUGGUCUGACUGACAAGUUGCAUCAAAUGGAGGAAACCAUCCACAGGCUAUCAGAAGCUUUGCUUUCCAACAAAGAAGGAUCCAGUAGCAACACCAACGAUCGUAAUGGUCAUGUCCGCAAUAAUAGAGACAACUCUAAGGGAUAAAUGGAAGGGGGACAACAAAUGUUCUUAUCCAAGUUGGCAAAGCUUGAAUUUCCAAGGUACUCUGGCAACGAUCCAACUGAAUGGUUCAACAAAGUGGACCAAUUCUUUGAAUAUCAAGGCAUCCCAGUAGCGCAAAAGGUGUCAUUAGCGUCAUUUCAUCUUGAGGGUGAAGCUAAUCAGUGGUGGCAGUGGUUACGCCGCUCCUACAGUGAAGAAGGGAAAGAAGUGGUGUGGGCAGAUUUUGAAGAGGAACUCUGGGCUCGUUUUGGACCUACAGAGUGUGAAGAUUUUGAUGAGGCUUUGUCAAGGGUGAAACAGAUGGGCUCACUACGAGACUAUCAAAGGGAGUUUGAAAAGCUAGGAAAUCGGGUGCAAGGAUGGACACAAAAGGCAUUGGUUGGAACGUUUAUGGGUGGUCUUAAGUCGGAAAUUGCCGACGACAUUCGGAUGUUCAAACCCAAAUCAUUGAAAGAAGCAAUCAGCCUGGCACGAAUGAGAGACGACCAGCUAACUCGCCAAUGAAGAUUCACACGACCUUUGCAACCCAACUGGCCGCAGCCUAACUUUUCUACUCAAAUGAAAUCCAAGCCAACACCAACCAUGAAACGUCUCACUUGGGAAGAAAUGCAGAAAAGGCGAGCAUAAGGCCUCUAUUUCAAUUGUGAUGACAAAUUCACCGUGGGUCAUAAGUGCCGAGGACCGCAACUCUUGUUGUUGGAAGGGAACUCCAGUCCAAAUAAGGAAGAUGAUAUAGAUGAGGAGAUCGAAGAACCCGCUAUCAAUGAACAAACUGAACCCGAAAUUUCCUUCCAUGCUCUAACUGGAUGGUCAACCCCCAAAACCAUGCGGAUUACAGCUAAGAUUGGGCAGCAUGAGGUGGUUGUCCUCAUUGAUAGUGGUUCCACACACAACUUUAUUAGUGAGAAAGUAGCCGACAUGUUGCACUUAUCUGUGGUUCCAACCAAGCCAUUCACUGUCAAGGUGGCAAACGGAACACCAUUGAAGUGCCAAGGGAGGUUUGAGCACGUGCAUGUGAUACUUCAGGGUAUUCCUUUCUCUCUUACUCUCUACUCUUUACCACUAACCGGGUUGGACUUGGUGCUAGGCGUACAAUGGUUAGAACAAUUGGGAACAGUUGUAUGCAAUUGGAAGAAACUGACAAUGGAGUUUCAAUGGGAAAAUCAAACACAUAAGCUACAAGGGACAAAUACACAAACCAUUCAAGUUGCAUCAUUGAAAGCUGUUUCAAAAGAAUUACGACAAGGAAGUUCUAUGUUCACAAUUUGCCUGCAAUCAACAUCAAAUGAAGUACAACAAGCUAUCCAUCUAGACAUGCAACAAUUGAUUAAAGCAUUCGAGGACAUUUUUCAAAAGCCAAAUCAACUACCUCCAGCAAGAGAGAUUGACCACCGAAUUACUUUGAAAGAAGGAACCGAGCCCGUCAACGUGAGACCCUACAGGUAUGCCUAUUUUCAAAAAGCUGAAAUUGAAAAACAAGUUUGUGACAUGUUAAAAUUGGGGCUUAUAAAAGCAAGCACUAGUCUUUUUUCAUCUCCUGUUUUAUUGGUUAAAAAGAAAGAUGGAACGUGGCGUUUUUGUACUGACUAUAGAGCACUUAAUGCCGUAACCAUCAAAGACCGAUUUCCAAUUCCUACAGUUGAUGAUAUGCUAGAUGAGCUCCAUGGGGCAACUUACUUUACUAAACUCGAUCUCAGAGCUGGCUACCAUUAUGUACGGGUACAUCCUCCAGAUAUUCCUAAAACUGCUUUCCGUACUCACAAUGGUCAUUACGAAUAUUUGGUCAUGCCUUUUGGUCUUUCUAAUGCACCAUCUACCUUUCAAGCAAUUAUGAAUUCUAUAUUCCGCCCAUAUCUCGGCAAAUUUGUGUUAGUAUUUUUUGAUGACAUUUUGAUUUAUAGCCCCAAUUGGAACAUGCAUCUUGAACAUGUUAAACAAGCUUUUGAAAUAUUAAGGCAACACCAAUUCUUUGUUAAAAUCAGCAAGUGUGCAUUCGGCCAGCUAGAGUUGGAGUAUUUAGGUCAUAUUGUGACUCUGUAAGGCGUACAAGUAGAUUAAGGAAAAAUUAAAGCAAUGCUAAAUUGGCCAAGGCCUACUAAUAUUUCUGAAUUGCGUGGGUUCUUAGGCCUAACAGGUUACUAUAGGAAGUUUGUUAGUAACUAUGACAUCAUUGCUCGGGCCUUUACCAAUUUGUUGAAGAAAGGAAAAUUCGCGUGGACAAAGGAUGCCGAAACAGCCUUCCAAGAACUCAAACAGGCUAUGACUUCAACCCCUACACUUGCUAUGCCUAAUUUUAAUGAACCUUUUGUCAUUGAAUUUGAUGCUUCAGGAGAUGGGAUUGGUGUCGUUCUAACCCAGCAAGGAAAACCAAUAGCCUUCAUGAGCCGCGCCUUAGGAGUGUCCAAACGAUCAUGGUCCAUCUAUGCUCGCGAAAUGUUGGCCAUUGUUCACGCCAUCCAAACUUGGCGACCAUAUUUGUUAGGACGAAAGUUCUAUAUCCAAACAGAUCAAAGAAGCCUCAAAUACUUGCUAGAGCAACGAAUAACAACACCGUAGCAGCAAGAAUGGGUGGCAAAAUUGCUGGGAUAUGACUAUGAAAUCACUUAUAAACCAGGACGGGAGAACUCAGCAGCAGAUGCACUAUCAAGAGUGGUAAGCAGUCCUAGUCUUAAUGCUUUAUUUGUUCCACAAGCUCCUUUAUGGGAUGAAAUCAAAGCAGAGGCUAUCAAACAUCCAUACAUGGACAAAAUUGACAAAUUGGCAAAUUGGCAACGGACAGUCCAGGUGCUCCUUACACAUGGCGAAAUGGGCUAGUGUGCUAUAAAAAUCGAGUGGUGAUACCCCCAAACUCUCCGAUAAUCAAGCAAUUAUUGCGAGAAUUCCAUGAUUCUCCAAUCGGGGGCCAUUCAGGGGUGUUACGGACAUAUAAAAGGCUUGCACAACAAUUCUAUUGGCCAUCAAUGUUUCAAAUAGUGCAGGACUAUGUCUCUUCUUAUGAUGUAUGCCAACGAAUUAAAUCUGAAACUCUUGCGCGAGCGGGACUCUUACAACCAUUGCCCAUUCCAUGUCUAGUAUGGGAUGACAUUACAAUGGAUUUUAUAGAGGGGCUGCCAACUUCCAACGGCAAGAAUACAAUCCUUGUGGUGGUAGAUCGCUUGAGUAAAUCAGCACAUUUUUUGGCCUUAGCCCAUCCUUUCACCGCAAAAAUGGUAGUUGAAAAAUUCGUUGAGGGAGUAGUCAAACUUCACGGCAUGCCCAAAUCCAUCAUUAGUGAUCGGGAUCCAGUGUUUAUGAGCCAAUUUUGGCAAGAGUUCUUCAAGUUAUCAGGCACACAAUUGAAAAUGAGUUCUUCCUACCACCCGCAAACGGAUGGGCAGUCCGAAGUCGUCAACCGAUGUGUCGAACAAUAUCUUCGCUGCUAUGCCCAUCACCACCCACGGAAAUGGAGCUUCUUUCUUCCAUGGGCAGAAUUUUGGUACAACACAACUUACCACGCAUCAACAGGAAUGACACCAUUUCAAGCUUUGUAUGGGCGUCUACCCCCAACCAUUCCACACUAUCUGAUGGGCACAACUCCAGUUCAUGCAGUCGACCAAAAUCUCACCUCCAGAGAUGCAAUAUUACGCCAACUCAAGACCAAUUUACAUGCUGCUACCAAUCGCAUGAAACAGGUGGCUGACUCCAAACGGCGAAAUAUUGAGUAUCAAGUAGGCGACAUGGUCUUCCUUAAGCUACAACCGUAUCGGCAGCAAUCGGUAUUUUGUAGAGCUUCUCAGAAAUUGGCAAGUCGAUUCUAUGGUCCUUAUCAAAUAGAACAAUGAAUUGGCAAGGUAGCAUAUAAAUUAAACCUCCCAGAAGGAUCCAAAAUUCAUCCCAUUUUCCAUGUUUCACUGCUUAAAAAGAAAUUGGGUGAGCCUAACAAUACUACGGUUGAAUUGCCUCUUACUGAUGAUGAAGGAGAAAUUGUCCUAGAACCUGAAGGAAUCUUAGAUACACACUGGGUUAAGAAAGGAUCACGCAUUUUUGAAGAAAGUCUGGUUAAAUGGAAACGACUACCACUAGACGAUGCUACGUGGGAGGAUACUAAAAUGUUGCGGGAUCGAUUCAUUAAUGUGAACCUUGAGGACAAGGUUCCAGUGCAAGACAGGGGUAUUGAUGAGCCAAGAAGAUCGCAACGUGUUCCUAAGAAAAACCCAAGGUUCAUAACAUGAUAAACAUGUAGAGCAAGUAGGAUGAUCGUGCAAGGAGCUGUUAGAGAUUAAUUGUUGGCAUAGUUCUGUUAGAAGACUUGGUCUGAUGUCUGUUAGCUAUUAUUAUGCUAUUUGAAUAAGUAUUAGCUAUUUAUUUGCUAAUAAUGGUUGAGUCCUUAUUUUCAGUAGUUAUGGUCAUGAGAGUAGGAGAAGGUGGGUUUUUCCUUGUAUAUUUAAACUAUUUCAGUAUGCAGCAAUAAAGGGGAGUUCAUUCAAAAUCCAAAUAUUAUGGCUCGUUCUUGCCCUAAGAAGAAUUUUGUUUGCUGAUUAUAUUAGCUUUGAUUGGGACCUAUCACCAUGACAUACAUGAAAUUAGAAUUGCAAUUUGAGCAAGUUGAACCCAAUCCAACCUGAAAAUGCAAUUUCUGAUUAAGAAAUCUCAAUCAGACUUGAACCCUAUCCGUAUUUAACUAAUUCUAAGUUGAACAUUUGUCUAAUAAGGUGCCUGUGUCGAAACAAUUUUGUAGGAGAAAAUGGGUGAUCGCUUACCAUGAAUGCUUGAGUGCAUUGUUUGAGGACAAUUAUUGUUACUGAGUUGUGUGCAGGCUGCCAUUAUAUUGUAGUCAGCAAUUGUUAUAAGAUGAAUGAUCAUGUUUUGUUUAUGCAUGUGAUGGUCUUCAAAAUGCAGGAUAAGCAUUCCCGGAAGGGUCUUCAAGCGAUGGUCCAGAGGAGAAAGAAGUUAUUGAAGUAUCUCCGUAGAACUGACUGGGAUUCCUACUGCCUUGUUCUUUCUAAGCUUGGUCUCCGAGACAAUCCGAAUUACAAAAACUAGAUGAAAUGUAUUCAUCUCUGUUUUGACAUGCUAAUGAUGCUUUAUUUAGUGAUAUAUCAGGUUUUUUGUUUUGUAUCUGGUACUCACAAUUUUUCAACUAGAUGUCACUUCUGAUUCUCCUUUAAUUUAAAGUCAUAAUAAUAACAGCUCCUUGGUACUAUUUGCUAGAAGGAAAGACAAUCUGUCUGUUUCUUAGUUGAAUGGGGCACAACACAGGACCUUUGUUACAUAGUCCUGAUAACUGAUGGAUCCGAUUUAACUUUUUUGUGGAGUUACGACCCUGACAGCCCAAGAGGAGGGAGGAGGGAGGAGGGAGGAGGGAGGAGACAGAGGGGAAGUGUGAACUGUGCUGUUGCACCUUAUUUGUGUUCCUUCUACUUCCAGGUGUUGUCAUGAAAUGGAAUCAGAAGUUGGAAUUCAAGAAGACUUGGUUAAAUGGUAAAAAAAACAGGCUGCUGUUGAGCAUCGUGCUUGAAGCUUGGAGAAUAGAGGAACCUUCUCUUGCUCUUCCAUCUCCUACUUCACACAUUUAUUCCAAGAAUAUAUCAUCUGCUGCUUGCCAAUCCUAACCAGGAAAAAACGAAAGAUUUUUAUCCUUAUGUUUUAAUAUUGAUGUCACUACAUUAUUCUUCUUCAUAUCUUUGUUGAACAACUUUUGAAACCAAUUGAGCAUACCCUUGAUCGGUUGAAACUUUUUUUGCUCAAAAGCCCUUCUUCUUUAAAUUCAAACCUUUUUAAUACUUACGCAACAACGUUAAAUUCUUUUAUAAAACAAGUUUGAGAGGUUUUUGCCUAAGUGUUGGAUUAGAACUUGAAUUAAGAAAACAUAAUCUUUAGAGUUCAAAAUAAGUAUAUGAUUAAAUGAUGCAUGAAUAGAUUUAAAGACCUAAGUGCACCCAAGUAUUUACCUUACAUAAUGUUCCUAAGCUUAAAAGGUCUUCAUGCUCACUUGAUCUUACACACCUUUGAUCCUUUGAUGAACAACUUGAUUUUCCAAUUGAAUUUUGCAAAUACUACUUGAAAAUCAUCUUAAUUUUAAACUCAAUAGUGAAAAACAUGAUUUGUUAUCAUCAAAACUCAUUUAGGAGAUCCCUUUGACUAACAGAAGUUAAUAGUGAAAUAAAUUUAUCGAGUCAUAAAGAUGAGAAAUGAAUAUAAUUAAUUCAUACUUGAAUAGAAACCGUGAGUGAACUCAUGUUAAGAAUGAGUCAAAAUAAGUAUGACCAAAUAUGAGAGAGAUUAUUUUUACAAAUUUAAGGUUAUUUCAUCCAUUUUAAUCAAAUCAUCCUUUAAUAAAUAUGACUCCAAGACUAAAAAACAAAGGAACCUGGCAAACCCCAAAUUAUUGGAAAGACAAUUGCACCCAAUUGGGCAUAAAAGAUAAAUAAUUUAACUCAAGAAAAAGUGAAAGUGAAAAUGAGGGACAUGAAGGCAAAAAAGAAUCAUUGAUUAAUAAUAUAUUUUAUUUAAUUUUAUAACCUUUUACAACUUGUUUUUAUGACGUAUAAUUAAUAUUUUAUAGCAUGCUCUUGUUUGUAUGUCUUAAACUCAACCUACUCAAAUCUUAAGCCUUCACCCCCAAACCAAAAAUUAAUUAAAAAUGAUGAGAUUUUUUACUAAAAAUUAUCCAUUAUAUAGUAACAUGAGGAUCACAUGUUUACUAAAACUAUAACUCUAAAGCUAGAUAUAAACUUCCUUAAUUUGACUAAUUAAAUAGUAUAAUAUAACAUAAUUAUAUAGUUUAGUUAUAAAUAAGUUAUUAUUUAAUUAAAUCUCAAAUUCAAUGUGAUUAUAACACAUAUUAAAAAAAAUGUUUAAUAAAAUUUUAAAUAAAAAAUUGAAAAUUGAAAAAAAUUUAAUUUGAUUAGAAAAAUUAUAGUGAAAUGAAAAUUUUUACAUACACAAAAAGAAUGAAAAAUAAAUUAAGAUAAUAUAGGUAUGAAGAAAAAAAAAUGAUGAAGCUAAAAUAAAAAAGGAAAAAAAAAAGUAGGAGUUUCAAGUAGGCUUUAUAAAAUAUUAUAUAUUUUUAAAAUUUAUUUAAAAUUUUAAAAAAAUAAAUCCUUGAGAGUUAGUAUUAACUUUUUUUUUCAAUAACAUUCAAAUGAAAUUAUUUUUUAUUUUUGAAAUUAAAAAUUAAAUUCAUAUUUUUUUCACUGCUACCUCCGGGUUAUGUACGCCGCUUUAGUCAAGAUCUCAUUGCAACCUAUAACAAGCUAAGCACUGAGUCAAGUCAAUUGGGUCCCCCAUCGCAAUUACCCAAAUGAGAUUGUAUGGAAUCACACUUUCAUCUUGAGUGAAAGAAGAAGCCUUCCUUGACCGAUUCACUCCUUCAGCAAAUGAAUUGCAUGGAAACGGGAUAAAUGUCUGAUGCAAAGUAAGGUAAAAUAUAGAGCUAGACUUAGAAUUUUAGGUGUCUGCUCAGAAAAAAACCAAUGAAAUCCCAGGUUUUGAACUUCAAAACUGAAGAAAAGAAAGUACAAUUUAUUCAAAACUUUUAGGCUCCACUCAUAACAUGGAAAAUUUGACAAAAAGAAAUAGGAUAGACGGUCAGCAAGCGGCUAAGUUGAGGCCGCCCACCAUAAUUGACAAAAUGAAACCAUAUGGAAAACGGAGGUAAGUCAGCAGGUCAAGUGGGCCCACCUAGUCUACUACAUUCAAUUGUAUGGUAAGUGGAAAUUCAAACUGAAAUUUCCCGGAAAGUGAUUUCCCAUUUGCCCGGAAAUUGCCUUGAAACUGGGAACUUAGCUGGAUUUAAAAGCAACAAACCUGGUUGUCAGUUGAUCAGCAACAACUGUGAAAACAAUUAAUGGCUGAAAGUAUUGUCACGUUUUUUCUAGAGAAGUUAACUGACCUGCUUUCCCAGGAAGCAUUUCUACUCAGCAGAGUAGAAGAGCAGGUGAAGCUGUUGAGUAACGAGCUCGAAUGGAUGCGCCUUUUUCUCAAAGACGCGGAUGCGAAGCGCAGAUAUGAUCCAAGAAUCAAGCUCUGGGUGAGUCAGAUCAGGGACGUAACCUAUGACGCCGAAGAUGUCAUCGACAGGUUCAUGUUCGAGAUGAAUCACCAACAGCAAGGAAGUCUCAAAUGCCUCAAGUUCCUUAAGUUACGAUUUGUUCACAAGCUCGAGUCUCGAAUCAGAGAGAUCAAUAUCAAGAUUGAGAAGAUCAUGGCUAACAAAUCAAGGUACGGUGUCGAAACCUUACCAGCUGCAAGCUCGUCCAACGAAGUUGUGCCACAUAAAGAGAGGAGGGCUCCGAUUGUGGAAGAAGUAAACGUGGUGGGAAUUCAAGAGGAUGCAAAAAGCGUUAAGCAAAAUCUGCUUAAUGGAGAGAUGCGGAGAGCUGUGGUGUCCAUCGUGGGCAUGGGUGGCUUGGGAAAGACUACCCUGGCUAAGAAAGUCUAUAAUGAUAAUGAUGUCCGGCAAUGCUUUGAUUGUCAUGCUUGGAUUUAUGUCUCUCAAGAGUAUACAAUCAGGGAGCUUUUGCUAGGCGUUGCUGUUUGUGUUAGGAUUCUCUCCGAAGAGGAAAGGAGUAAAAUGAACGAGAGCGAUUUGGGGAAUAGUCUUCGUGAUUACCUGACUACCAGGAAGUACUUGAUAGUUAUGGAUGAUAUGUGGAGAAAUGAAGCUUGGGAUAGGUUGGGCUUGUAUUUUCCUGACUCGGUGAAUGGCAGCAGAGUGUUGAUCACCUCACGCAAUAAAGAGAUUGGUCUUUAUGCUGAUCCACAAACCAUUCCCCAUGAACUUUCUUUUCUGACUGAAGAAGAGAGUUGGGAGCUCUUUCUCAAGAAAAUUUUUCUGGCUGGGAGUGCAAAUGCUGUUUGCCCAGAGAAUUGGAAGAGUUGGGAAAGAAAAUUGUAGCAAAUUGUGGGGGUUUGCCCCUUGCAAUUGUGGUCUUGGGAGGCCUUCUAUCAAGAAAAGAAAAGACACCGCUCUCCUGGCAAAAAGUACUGGACAGCCUAACUUGGCACCUAAAUCAAGGUCCAGACUCAUGUUUGGGGGUCCUUGCUUUAAGCUACAAUGAUAUGCCGUAUUACUUGAAGUCCUGUUUCCUUUACUGUGGUCUUUUCCCAGAAGACUCAGAAAUCAGGACAGAUAAGUUGAUCCGCUUGUGGGUUGCAGAAGGGUUUAUACAAAGAAGAGGAGAAGAAAUAGCGGAAGACGUCACGGAAGAUCACUUACAGGAAUUGGUACAUAGAAGCAUGAUUCAAGUGGCUGCCAGGAGUUUCGAUGGAAGAGUGAUGUCCUGUCGCAUGCACGAUCUGCUUCGAGACCUUGCCAUUUCUGAGGCCAAAGAUACAAAUUUUUUUGAGGGAUAUGAAAGCAUUGAUUCUACAUCCCCUGUUAGUGUUCGUCGACUAACCAUUCAUCAAGGUAAGAAGACUAAUUCUAAACACUUGCAUACUUCACGUAGUCUCCGAUCUUUCAUUUGUUUUUCUGUAUGCUUCCAAGAAAACAUUUUGAGAUCUUUACACAGGCGUGUCAAAUUGCUCACUGUACUGGACCUAGAACGCAUGCCUAUCAGUACCUUCCCAGAAGCCAUAGGAGAACUUAUCCACCUUAAGUACUUGUGCUUAAGGGGAACCUGCAUAAAAAGUCUUCCAUCGUCCAUAGGUCGUCUUACUAAUCUACAAACCCUAGACUUUCGAGGCACUUUAAUUGAAAUAAUUCCCUCUACCAUUUGGAAAUUGCACCAUUUGAGACAUCUAUACGGUCAUGGUGUGGUUUCAAGCCAGUCAGUGAUAGAUAAGUGCAGGAAUGGUCCUUUGAGUGUUGGCCACCUAACAAACCUCCAAUCGUUAGGUUUAAGAGCAGGCAGUUGGUGCUGUGGUGAAGGCUUGGGAAAAUUAAUUGAGCUUAGAGAACUGACAAUUGCAUGGACCGAAAUCGCACAAACAAAGAACCAGGGAUUUUCCGAGUCAGUAAAAAAGCUAACUGCUCUUCAAUCCUUGUGUUUGUAUCCUCGUAUAGGAGAGAAUUUUAACCAUGCCGCACCUCAUGCCUUUCUCAGACCACACUUACCUUUACCAUCUAAGUUUAAGAGGAAGGCUCGAAAGGUUCCCUGAUGAAAUUGAAUUCUACCCUCCAAACCUCGUCUCCUUGGAAUUGGAAUGUUGGAAU